GUCUCACUGGCAAAUGGUCGACUAUUUUUUCCCUUCGGCCAGCAGGUGUUCAGUGCCAACAUCUGGCUGCUGUAAAGAGCUAACUGUGAAGCUAACUUCAUUCUUUUUUUCUUACCCGUGCUAUGUUACUUGUUCUUUCUAACAUCGGUGGCCAAGUACAGCCGUAGCUUUAGGAGAGUGCAACCAAGGCACAAAGGUGCGAAUUGUACAAAUAGGAGUAGGGAAAGGGUAGAAGCAAAGAAUAUGUUCCUGGCAUGGUAGUAAAUAUGAGAUGUAAACGCACUCGUAGUGCAGUUAAUCGUAUUUUUUGUAGCUAGGGUGUCAUAGUUUUGAUGAUCGGUUCGGUUGUAUGGCUACUCUUAUCAGCCACGCUGGAGGUGCUGCCGUUUUUUUGUUCCACGUGCAUGAUAACAAGAUGGAAGACCCUUCUGGAAUCAUAUGACCUUUUGUUACAUGAUAUGAUAGCCUGAUCUGUCUAAAAUGGCUGAGUUUCUUUCUAGCUUUGUUGACGACCCUUUGUUGGACGGAGUUUCUUGUUUGUGAUUGCCAGUCACUCGUGCGGUUGAAAAUGCCAGGAAGGCUUGUCGCUCUCUUCAAGCAGACAUAUUUUUGUGUGUCAUAGGAAGAAGACAGUUUACAGCUGCAUGCGAAGAAGUUGUCUGGAAAAUAACAACUUCUUUGUCAGGGGUUCAUGGCCCUAUUAUGCUUGUCUCCGCGAGUGGCGGUCACAAGAGGACAAUGGCUUUGGGUGAAACAAGCAGCUGGCUGUGAUUCCUUGUCCCGUACUGUAUCAGCCCCAAGACCAUGGCAUUCCCUGUCCCAUGCAUUAUCACGUGCUCUACUCCAUCGAAAUGUUCGCCCUCAUCAUCCAGGGCUGACAAAGAAAUUAUUUUUUUUGCUCACCGUAAUAAGUCACCAGGCAACCGUUUUUUUGUCUUUGGUCGCAGUGCAUUCUCAUUGUCGCCCUGACCCUAGAAAUCACGGGAGGUAUCAGGUAUCUCAUCCCAUCUUGCCAAUUGCCAAAUGCCAACCCCUAAAGACAUGUAAAGACUUGAGUAUCAUAGCUCUCAUAGUCUUGUUGCAUGUGCAAAGCUCGUUGCCGUCUCUAAGCUUGCAACCUUAUUGAAACCCAAGAGCUUCUAGAGAAAAAUUGUCGAUGUAGCAUAUCACCACCCUGAAAAAGAACUCGUUGAAGAAGGCCUGUAGAACACCCGAGGUACAAAAAAUUCACACGUUCCUCGACUAGGCCAGAGGCUAGGCAACCUUCGCCGUCAGUCGAAACUGGAGCGCACAGAAGGAAAAACCAAACCCGGAAAAUGAUCUAAAGACACAUGAUUUUCCACACUAAAGUUUUAACAGGAUACACACAUCAAACUUGGAAGUCAUUACACUUGAUUUAAUCGGCGACGACUCUUCUCAACCUCAGCUUUCAAGUCCUCCAACCUCUUCUGGCCCUCUUUUGACUUUUUGCCGCUAGAAAUUGCGUAGGGUACCACUGUUCCCAUUCCAAAAACGAAAGCCACCGUCAUAUAGACAUGGCCGAUAGGUUCGAAGUCAACAGUUGGCAGCUUAUUCCAAAUGGAAUAACAGCGGUGUCCCUGCAGCAUGAACCACGGUCACUACAUGGACCAUAAAGUACAGUUUUGCAGCAACAAAACAAAUCAUAAAAACACGUGAUCAACCUGGGAAGUAAUAACAUCCGCAGUUGCACACUUGCAUUGCAUUUGCAUGGCACCAAUAAAAGAACAACAUCAAUAAUUUGUAACGUAUCUAUUAGUAGUUGCUACAUGGGGUACACAAGAAGAAGUCUAAAACCUGAAAUUUGCCUAAUACCUUUCCGAAACAUGUAUACCUAUCUUAUUUAAAGCGUUCGUUAAGUAAUAUGAAUCCUAGAGUUUUGGCAGAAUACUAGUGAAUUUGUCAAAAUGGACGUGGAACAUCUGCAUAACUCCCUGGAAUACUAGUGAAUUCGUCAAAAUGGACGUGGAACAUGUUAUGACUACCUACAAUUUUUUUUACUAGCUUAAGGUCAGAAAAUAUACCAACCUAUAUCUGUUGUUGCUAGGCCUAGAACAUACAAUCUUAAUCUGAGACUUAGACAUUAAGGGAGGCUGACGCGGAAGCGUCAGACACUCUAGCAUAGAAUCCUCUAUCAUACGGUUAUGGCUCAUCUCAUGCUUCCUGUUAUGUCCAAGAUUCUUACAACCUUCGAUGCUGUGCCUAGACAAGGACAAUUUGCUAAUCUGAUAGCACCAACGAAAUCAUCCAGGGAGGAUGACGAUGAAACCCCGGCACAAAAUCCUUCAUUGACGCAUCCUUUGAGUAGAUCGACCGAGAGAGUAUUGUGCGAACCGUGAAGCUGGAGAGAAGCCGCUUGCCCAGGGUGUCCGCAGUUGGGUUUCCUUGUGCUCGAAGAACAGUCUGGGAGACGGCGGCUACCCGUGCCAACACCGAACACACAAUUGCCAUCGCCAUCUCCUAGCCGAUGCCUGGCGGCGCGAUGGGGGGCUGCCGCCCGUGUCGCCUAGGUUACGCGACGCUGGGGCCGAGCCGGAAUGGCGGCGGUAUACUGUCUCACACUACUUAAGUUUAACAGGAUAUAUAGUUUUUUUUCCAUUUAACAAAUACGUUCAGCCUUACUUAGCACAAAAAAACAGGAUAUAUAGAUCAAGCUUGAAAGGCAUCACACUUCAUUUAACAAAUACAACAAUAUUGCCAUAUGUUAUCUUCAUCAAUGACUCUUCUGACGAUCAGCCUCGUAAGCCCUCCAUUCAGCCUUCCAGUCCUCCAACUCCUUGGCGCUCUCUUUUGCCCUUUUGAUGCUAUAAAUUGUGUAGGGUAUCAUUGUUCCCAUAAAAAAAGUGAAAGCGAACAGCAUCGGAAUAGGACCGACAGGAUAAAAAAUCUCAGAAGAAUGCAGCUUAUCCAAAAUGGAAUAAAAGUCGCGUCCCUGCAGCAUGAACCACAUUCACUACAUGAAUAUUAUAGAACAUAUAUAAAAGCAAAAGGUACAAUUUCAUAGCAAUAAAACAAAGUAUAAAAAUACGUGAUCAACCUAGGAAGUAAUACAUCCACAGUUGUGUUGCAUGUCACCAAUGAAAGAACAACAUCAAUAAUACCAUAGAUUAAAUCCUACUCCCUCUGUUCGUAAAUAUAAGACUUUUUACAGAUUCCAAUAUGGACUACAUACGGAGCAAAAUGAGUAUGAUCCAAGUAUUGUUGGGCAGUAACAAUAAUAACUGCCCAAGUAUUGUUGAUUAGUAAGGUUGUCCAACCGCAGUAGCCAAGGAGGCCCAGCCCGUAUGAUCCAAGACUGAUAUAAACAGAGGUGAAAGGAUCCAAAGUUGGAAGCUUGCAAACUGGGCUAUUAUUAUAACUGUAUAUAUGAUUUUGGUUUUGUGUACACUUGAUGAGAAGAAAUCCGCCAGAGAUCAAUACUUGAAUAGGUACUACCAUUCAAGGAGCAUCUUGGUGGUGCCCAUGGAGGUACACACGAAUUAAAUUAGAAAUGCAAGAAAGUCCUCAUACUUUGAAUGCCAACAAGUAUACAUGUUCAAAUCGUAGAAGUGAAAUUUAUGUAACGGAAGGAGCAUGGGGUCUCACCAUCCAUUUUAAGCACAAUAAUUAUUUUAUGUCAAAGAGAAAGACUAAUCUUUUAGUAGUUGAUGUAAAGAUCUCUAAAACCUGAACUUUGCCUGAUACCUCCCCGAAACAUGUGUACCUAUCUUAUUUGAAGCAUUCGUUAAGUUUGAAACAUCUGCAUAUCUCCCUUGAAUUUGUUAAAAUGGACGUAUAACAUGGAGUAUUACCUAAUAAUAAUAAAGUUACUUGAGGUUCCCAAAGGAAAAAACAGCUUGAUGUCAAAAGAUGUUCCAACCUAUAUACCUGUCGCUAGGCAAAGAAUCGUACAAUCUGAAUCUUAGAUAUAGCAACCUAUAUACUUGAGGUUCAUCUCAUGUUUCGUGCUAUGCCCACGAAUUCUUGCAACCAUUUAUGUGGUGCUGUAGACAAGGCGUUUUGCUAAUCUGAUAGCACCAACGACUGGAAAUCAUCCAGGGAGGAUGACGAUCAAACCCUAGCACAAAAUUUUCCAUUGACGGUUCCUACUAUGGGUAGAUCGUCCAACAGAGUAUGGUGCGAACCUUGAAGCCGGAGAGGAACCGCUUGCCCAGGGUGUCCGCGGUUAGGUUUCCCUCUGCCCGAAGAAGCGGCUGGUAGACGGGGUGGCCGCCACGGGCCACCCGCGCCAACACCGAACGCGCCUCCUGCUCCGCCAUGUCAACGUCUGGCGUGACCGCCCUACUGGCGAGCUGCUCCUCCGCCUGCAGAUGCUUCUGGAGGAGGUGGUGGUUGUAGGCGGCGUCGGCCUGCGCCUCCCAGAAUUACUCCUCCCGCUCCUCCCGUAGCAUGUCCAGUUAAUGGGCACGGGCCCCACCGAUGGUCAAGGUGCAGUGCACUGGCGAGGGUGGCACGGAGGAGGAGGAGGGCCGCACGGAGGAGGAGGAUGGUGCGCCGACUCGUCGGCGGCGGCCGCAUCCUCCAUUGGGACGUUGUCAUCCUCCGGUUGCCGGUCGGCCAUCCAGCCGGCAACAAUGGCGGCCAUCUCCUUCUUCUGUUCCGGCGUCAGCCCGUCCUAGAGAGAUUUGGCGGGGGAACAAUCCAUGGUGGGAGUGGUGUGGAGAGGGAUCGGAGGCGGAUGACUAUGGCUAUGGCCUGGGGCAAUGGUUUAUCUAGCAAUGGCAGGCGGCAAGGGACGGACGGGUGGCGCCAGAGGAGACGCCUCGGCAACUGUGUGCCAUCAAUGUGGGAGGAAGGCGGACGGACGAGUGGCCGUUGUGUCGUUUGAACGUGCGGCAGUCGCCUGCACCGGUAAGCGGCGCGGGCGGUGCUCUCUCGGCCGGCGUGCCGCUUCAAUGCCGACGCUAGUGAGCUGUCGCGUCCGCUCUGGCCGGGCAUGAAUGCGGUCGCUGACGCUCUAGAGCGGCAUUGACCGGAUACGCGUGGGAGAAAUCGCGUCCGGACCGUUCUACGGACCGAUACAGAACCGCGGUGGAUGAAUUUCUCGGUCUCAAAGGUUGCGGAAGGUUUAACUCUCCGUGUUGGAGAUGCUCUUAUCAAUGAGGUAAUAGCACCACAUGUCCUUGAACUUGUCUAGGAUGUGAUGAUUUGGUCCUCAAACUUAUAAAAGUCAACUAUUUGGUCCUAAAACUUAUCACUCAUGUCUUAUCAACGAGGUAAUAGCGCCAGUUGCCUUUUACAAGUUUGAAGACCAAAUCAUCACAUUCUAGACAAGUUCAAGGACUUACUGGUGCUAUUACCUCCUUAUCAAUAGUCCACAGUGCAAUCUCUGCAUUCGUUGAGGCAAAAGCUGUACCGUGCAAUAAUUCAUUGAAGCAGUGCAUACUUUCCUGCUCUUGCAAUACCUCAUGGGCUCAUCGCAUGUAUAGAAUGGGCCAUCAUGGCUAGGGUGAUUUUCCUUGCUUAUGCAUGGGAUUCAACUGUCAAUGGCGAUGGCAUGAUGAGACUAAUUCAACCCUGUCCAAAGUGGCAGGCAAAAUGAGUACUCGAAAUUAGGCGAUUCAUAUGCCACCACGGCUUUUCCAAAGUUGGUUAUUGUUUUUGCCUCUUCCCUUGCGAUGAUUAUGAUCAUAGAACUUUUGACGUUCUCAGCGAGUUAAAUAUGCUCUUGCUUAAGAUGUUCUCAGGUCUUUUGCUGGAUGCCCCACUGACAUGUGGGUUCUAUGACCACACAGGCCACCUGUCAGUGAGACGUGAAUGCCAAAUAUCAAAUCAUUAUUCCGUCGAGCGGCAAAUGCCUGAACUUCUUAUUUUGCACGGCUUUCUAGACUGGUUAUGAGGUCCUGGGUCCCAAAUUUUUUUCUUGAUUACUAUUCAGACACAUACAGCGCAUAAUGGUUUCGGUAAUUAUCUUUGUAAGUCUGAAGUUACAUCAAUUUAGCCUAGUUUCACAUAGUUUUUGAUACAUUUUACAUAUAUUUAAGCUAAAUCCAGCUUUUGUUCUUGUCUCUUCUCAUUUUCCGUUUAUGCUCCGCCACUGCUUGCAUCCUCUCUUUUUUUGGUUCAGCUUGCAUCCUCCUAAACCACAGAUAUUCUUCACUCAUUUUCCAUCUGGUUAUGUCUGUGGAUCUUUACAAAGCCCAUAUAGAGAGAGCUAGUCAGUGGCUGCAAGGAGGACAACAACAGCAAAGGACAAACACGCACACCAACCCGAGAAAGGCAUUAACUCAAGACCAAUUUAGUAGUUGAGGCGUCAGAGAUCUCCGGGGUCAAGGAUCAUGGCAUAUGCUGCUCAAUGCGCUCGUAAGUCCUAUUAAACUAAGCUGAUGGAAUCUUCAACAAGAUGAUCAUAUGAGCUUAAGUAGUUCUUCAAUAGAGGUGGCUAACUGCUUGUCAGAGCAUGGUGUACCAUGCCACUGAUGUUGUCGAAUUUGUCGUGUUUUUGGAACUGAAAUUCAGCAUGUCGCUCCAUCAGGAGUGGUUUUGCUGAUCUUCAUUUAAGUUUGUUCUUUGGUGAUGUCUGCUAAUGGUAGAAAGAGAAAGUUUGACGUAUAAGGUUGCUAAAUAACGGUUUGAAUUUAAACCCUUAGGUCAAUUUUGUGUGCUCACCACUGAUAUACGUGAGUUCAACAGCAGUUCACUUUUACAAUCCCUAAGGAUGAGACCCUUGCGUUCAUCCGAAAUCUGUUAAUGAUCUUUUAGAUUUAGAAGCAGAGCGGGCUUCUAAAAUAAUUCGGAACCUCGCAUCAGUUAAACCUAUGAAUGACGAUGACAUGAACAAUUUAGGAAUUGUAGCCCUUGAAAACAUUUGCAAUAAUCUCUUGCCUAGUGAGGAGGCCGAAGAUGAGGAGGGGACGGAGACUACGGACACUGUAGAGCCUCUAAUGAUGGAGGGCACUGUCUCAUGUUCUGCCGAUCCUACGUUCCCGAAGGGUGAUGGGGAGAAGCCCAAGCGAUCCUGGAAACGGAAAAUUUAUCCUACUUCGGCGGUUCGUAGAAGUGCUAGGGUUAAGCUUAAGAAAAAAAAUCCAUGAUGACUUAUAAAAGGAAUCUUUUGGAAUAGCAGAGGUCUAGCUGACUUGGCUAAACGUAGGUUCUUGGCGGAGACAACGAUAGAGCAACAUUUAGAUUUUAUUGCACUUUUGGAAACACGACGAGAUAAAUUUACCUCACAGUUCCUUGGAACUCUAUCCAGAGGAAUUGAUUUUGAUUGGCAUGUCUUACCUCCUAAAGGAAGAUCUGGUGGGAUAUUACUAGGGGUUCGGUGUGAAACACUUGAGGUGCUUAACGUGGUUCAGGGUGAUUUUGCGGUCAAGUUUCGGGUGAGAUCAAAAUUGUAUGGUUUCCGAUGGUCUCUUGUGGCUGUAUAUGGGGCCGCACAACUUGAACUUAAACCAGAUUUUUUAGCCGACCUAGUGCGAAUAUGUGGAGAUGAAACUUUGCCAAUCCUAGUCGGUGGGGACUUUAAUAUAAUUCGGAGGAGAGAUGAAAAGAACAAUGACAAUUUUGAUGCACGUUGGUCUAUGAUGUUUAACAUGAUUAUCGAGAGUCUUAAUUUGAGAGAAAUUGAGCUCACCGAUAGACAAUUUACGUGGGCCAAUUUGUUACCCACUCCGAUUUAUGAGAAGUUGGAUAGGGUACUCGCUAGUGUGGAAUGAGAACAAAAGUACCCAUUGGUGUCGGUUCAUGCGAUGUAGAGAGCGAUCUCAGACCACACACCACUUCUUGUAGACUCGGGAGAGGCUACACACGUUGCAAACAAGAAUGCUUUCUCUUUCGAGCUAGGUUGGUUCGAGAAAGAAACCUUUUUGGAGGUCAUUGCACGCGAAUGGGCAAAGCCUGUUAGUGGAAGAACUAGUAUUGGGAGAUGGCAAAAUAAGAUCAGACAUCUAAGAUAGUUUUUGCGAGGUUGGGCCAAAAACAAGAGUGGGAUUUAUAAACAAGAAAAAGAACGGCUUACUCAAUUAAUUGAAGCACUAGAUUUAAAAGCUGAAAGGAAUCUCCUUACAGUUAAUGAGAAAAACUCCAAAUCCGAAGCUAAGCAAGGCUUACGAGCUCUUGUUAGAGAAGAUGAGCUCAAGUGGGCACUGCGUGCUAAAGUGCUUAAGGUUGUUCAAGGGGAUGACAAUACACAAUUCUUCCAUAUGAUUGCGAAUGAUAAACAUAGGAAAAAGAAAAUCAUACAACUCGAACAGGACGAGGGGACAAUUGUGGGGCAUGAGAAUUUGAAAGCUUAUAUUUCUAAUUACUACAAACAACUUUUUGGGCAUCCGGAAGCAAGCACUGAAGGAAAUAUGCCCUAGAGGCAAUAAUAAAGUUAUUAUUUAUUUCCUUAUAUCAUGAUAAAUGUUUAUUAUUUAUGCUAGAAUUGUAUUAACCAGAAACAUAAUACAUGUGUGAAUACAUAGACAAACAGAGUGUCACUAUUAUGCCUCUACUUGACUAGCUCGUUAAUCGAAGAUGGUUAUGUUUCCUAACCAUGAACAAAAGAGUUGUUAUUUGAUUAACGGGAUCAGAUCAUUAGAAGAAUGAUGUGAUUGACAUGACCCAUUCCAUUAGCUUAGCACCCGAUCGUUUAGUAUGUUGUUAUUGCUUUCUUCAUGACUUAUACGUGUUCCUAUGACUAUGAGAUUAUGCAACUCCCGUUUGCCGGAGGAACACUUUGUGUGCUACCAAACGUCACAACAUAACUGGGUGAUUAUAAAGGAGCUCUACAGGUGUCUCCAAAGGUACAUGUUGAGUUGGCGUAUUUCGAGAUUAGGAUUUGUCACUCCGAUUGUCGGAGAGGUAUCUCUGGGCCCUCUCGGUAAUGCACAUCACAUAAGCCUUGCAAGCAUUGCAACUAAUGAGUUAGUUGCGAGAUGAUGUAUUACUAAACGAGUAAAGAGACUUGCCGAUAACGAGAUUGAACUAGGUAUUGAGAUACCGACGAUCGAAUCUCGAGCAAGUAACAUACCGAUGACAAAGGGAACAACGUAUGUUGUUAUGCGGUCUGACCGAUAAAGAUCUUCGUAGAAUAUGUAGGAGCCAAUAUGAGCAUCCAGGUUCCGCUAUUGGUUAUUGACCGGAGACGUGUCUCGGUCAUGUCUACAUUGUUCUCAAACCCGUAGGGUCUGCACGCUUAAGGUUUCGAUGACAGUUAUAUUAUGAGUUUAUGCAUUUUGAUGUACCGAAGUUUGUUCGGAGUCCCGGAUGUGAUCACGGACAUGACGAAGAGUUUCUAAAUGGUCGAGACAUAAAGAUUGAUAUAUUGGAAGCCUAUAUUUGGAUAUCGGAAGUGUUCCGGGUGAAAUCGGGAUUUUACCGGAGUACCGGGAGGUUACCGGAACCCCCCGGGAGGUAUAUGGGCCUUAGUGGGCUUUAGUGGAAGAGAGGAGAGGUGGCCAGGGCUGGGCCGUGCGCCCCUCCCCCCUAGUCCGAAUAGGACAAGGAGAGGGGGGCGAUGCCCCCCUUCCUUCUCUCUCUCCUCUUUCCCCCUCCCGAAUCCUAUUCCAACUAGGAAAGGGGGGAAUCCUACUCCCGGUGGGAGUAGGACUCCUCCUGGCGCGCCCUCCUCCUGCCCGGCCGCACCCCCCUUGAUCCUUUAUAUACGGGGGCAGGGGGCACCCCUACACACACAAGUUGAUCCACAUGAUCAUAUUCUUAGCCGUGUGCGGUGCCCCCUUCCACCAUAAUCCUCGAUAAUAUUGUAGCGGUGCUUAGGCGAAGCCCUGCGACGGUAGUACAUCAAGAUCGUCGCCAUGCCGUCGUGCUGACGGAAAUCUUCCCCGACACUUUGCUGGAUCGGAGUCCAGGGAUCGUCAUCGAGCUGAACGUGUGCUAGAACUCGGAGGUGCUGUAGUUUCGGUGCUUGAUCGAUCGGGCCGUGAAGACGUACGACUACAUCAACCGCAUUGUGCUAACGCUUCCGCUGUCGGUCUACAAGGGUACGUAGAUCACACUCUCCCCUCUCGUUGCUAUGCAUCACCAUGAUCUUGCGUGUGCGUAGGAUUUUUUUUGAAAUUACUACGUUCCCCAACAGUGGCAUCCGAGCCUAGGUUUUAUGUGUUGAUGUUAUAUGCACGAGUAGAACACAAGUGAGUUGUGGGCGAUAUAAGUCAUACUCCUUACCAGCAUGUCAUACUUUGGUUCGGCGGUAUUGUUGGACGAAGCGGCCCGGACCGACAUUACGCGUACGCUUACGCGAGACCGGUUCUCCCGACGUGCUUUGCACAAAGGUGGCUAGCGGGUGACAGUUUCUCCAACUUUAGUUGAACCAAGUAUGGAUAUGCCCAGUCCUUGCGAAGGUUAAAACAACACCAACUUGACAAACUAUCGUUGUGGUUUUGAUGCGUAGGUAAGAUUGGUUCUUGCUUAAGCCCGUAGCAGCCACAUAAAACUUGCAACAACAAAGUAGAGGACGUCUAACUUGUUUUUGCAGGGCAUGUUGUGAUGUGAUAUGGUCAAGACAUGAUGCUAAAUUUUAUUGUAUGAGAUGAUCAUGUUUUGUAAUCGAGUUAUCGGCAACUGGCAGGAGCCAUAUGGUUGUCGCUUUAUUGUAUGCAAUGCAAUUGCGCUGUAAUGCUUUACUUUAUCACUAAGCGGUAGCGAUAGUCGUGGAAGCAUAAGAUUGGCGAGAUGACAAUGAUGCUAUGAUGGUGAUCAAGGUGUCGCGCCGGUGACGAUGGUGAUCACGAUGGUGCUUCGAAGAUGGAGAUCACAAGCACAAGAUGAUGAUGGCCAUAUCAUAUCACUUAUAUUGAUUGCAUGUGAUGUUUAUCUUUUAUGCAUCUUAUCUUGCUUUGAUUGACGGUAGCAUUUUAAGAUGAUCUCUCACUAAUUAUCAAGAAGUGUUCUCCCUGAGUAUGCACCGUUGCGAAAGUUCUUCGUGUUGAGACACCACGUGAUGAUCGGGUGUGAUAGGCUCUACGUUCAAAUACAACGGGUGCAAAACAGUUGCACACGCGGAAUACUUAGGUUAUACUUGACGAGCCAAGCAUAUACAAAUAUGGCCUCGGAACACGGAGACCGAAAGGUCGAGCGUGAAUCAUAUAGUAGAUAUGAUCAACAUAGUGAUGUUCACCAAUGAAACUGCUGCAUCUCACGUGAUGAUCGGACAUGGUUUAGUUGAUUUGGAUCACGUGAUCACUUAGAGGAUUAGAGGGAUGUCUAUCUAAGUGGGAGUUCUUAAGUAAUAUGAUUAAUUGAACUUAAAUUUAUCAUGAACUUAGUCCUGGUAGUAUUUUGCAAAUUGUGUUGAAAGAUGUUAGUAGCAAUGAUGCGGAUUGGAUCCGUGAUCUGAGGUUUAUCCUCAUUGCUGCACAGAAGAAUUAUGUCCUUGAUGCACCGCUAGGUGACAGACCUAUUACAGGAGAAGAUGUAGACGUUAUGAACGUUUGGCUAGCUCAAUAUGAUGACUACUUGAUAUUUUAGUGCACCAUGCUUAAUGGCUUAGAAUCGGGACUUCAAAGACGUUUUGAACGUCAUGGACCAUAUGAGAUGUUCCAGGAGUUAAAGUUAAUAUUUCAAGCAAAUACCCGAAUUGAGAGAUAUGAAGUCUCCAACAAGUUCUAUAGCUAAAAGAUGGAGGAGAAUCGCUCAACUAGUGAGCAUGUGCUCAGAUUGUCUGGGUACUACAAUCGCUUGAAUCAAGUGGGAGUUAAUCUUCCAGAUAAGAUAGUUAUUGACAGAAUUCUCUAGUCACCAUCACCAAGUUAGUAGAACUUCGUGAUGAACUAUAAUAUGCAAGGGAUAAUGGAAACAACUCCCAAAGCUCUUCGUGAUGCUGAAAUCAACGAAGGUAGAAAUCAAGAAAAAACAUCAAGUGUUGAUGGUUGACAAGACCACUAGUUUCAAGAAAAGGGCAAAGGGAAGAAGGGGAACUUCAAGAAGCGGAAAGCAAGUUGCUGCUCAAGUGAAGAAGCCCAAGUCUGAUCCUAAGCCUGAGACUAAGUACUUCUACUGCAAAGGGACUGGUCACUGGAAGUGGAACUGCCCCAAGCAUUUGGCGGAUAAGAAGGAUGGCAAGGUAAACAAAGGUAUAUUGGAUAUACGUGUUAUUGAUGUGUACUUUACUAGUGUUUAUAGCAACCCCUCGGCAUUCAAUACUGGUUCAGUUGCUAAGAGUAGUAACUCAAAACGGGAGUUGCAGAAUAAACAGAAACUAGUAAAGGGUGAGGUGAUGAUGUGUGUUGGAAGUAGUUCCAAGAUUGAUAUGAUCAUCAUCGCACACUCCCUACACUUUCGGGAUUAGUGUUGAAACUAAAUAAGUGUUAUUUGGUGUUUGCGUUGAGCAUGAAUAUGAUUUGAUCAUGUUUAUUGCAAUACGUUAUUCAUUAAAGUCAGAGAAUAAUUGUUGUUCUGUUUACAUGAAUAAAACCUUUGAUGGUCAUACACCCAAUGGAAAUAGUUCGUUGGAUCUCGAUCGUAGUGUUACACAUAUUGAUAAUAUUGAAGCCAAAAGAUGCAAAGUUAAUAAUGAUAGUGCAACUUAUUUGUGGCAUUGCCAUCUAGGUCAUAUCGGUGUAAAGCGCAUGAAGAAACUCCAUACUGAUGAACUUUUGGAACCACUUGAUUAUGAAUCACUUGGUACUUGCAAACCAUGCCUCAUGGGCAAGAUGACUAAGACUCCGUUCUCUGGAACAAUGGAGCAAACAACAAACUUGAUUGGAAAUAAUACAUAUUGAUGUAUGCAGUCCAAUAAGUGUUGAGGCUCGCGGCGGGUAUCGUUAUUUUCUGACCUUCACAGAUGAUUUGAGCAGAUAUGAGUAUAUCUACUUGAUGAAACAUAAGUCUGAAACAUUUGAAAAGUUCAAAUAAUUUCAGGGUGAAGUGGAAAAUCAUCGUGACAAGAAAAUAAGGUUUCUACGAUCUGAUCUCAGAGACAAAUAUUUGAGUUAUGAGUUUGGUCUUCAAUUAAAACAUUGUGGAAUAGUUUCACAAACUCAUGCCACCUGGAACACCACAGCAUAAUGAUGUGGCCGAUCAUCAUAACCGUACUUUAUUGGAUAUAGUGCAAUCUAUGAUGUCUCUUACCGAUCUACCACUAUCGUUUUGGGGUUAUGCAUUAGAGACAACUGCAUUCACGUUAAAAAGGGCACCAUCUAAAUCCGUUGAGACGACACAAUCUGAAUUAUGGUUUGACAAGAAACCAAACUUGUCGUUUCUUAAAGUUUUGGGCUGUGAUGCUUAUGUGAAAAAAUUUCAUCCUGAUAAGCUCAAACCCAAAUCAGAGAAAUAUGUCUUCAUAGGGUACCCAAAGGAGACUGUUGGGUACACCUUCUAUCACAGAUCAGAAGGCAAGACAUUCGUUGCUAAGAAUGGAUCCUUUCUAGAGAAGGAGUUUCUCUCGAAAGAAGUGAGUGGGAGGAAAGUAGAAAACUUGAUAAGGUAAUUGUACCUUCUCCCUUAUUGGAAAGUAGUUCAUCACAAAAAUCUGUUCUUGUGACUACUACACCAAUUAGUGAGAAAGCUAAUGAUGAUGAUCAUGUAACUUCAGAUCAAGUUACUACCGAAUCUCGUAGGUAAACCAGAGUGAGAUCCGCACCAGAGUGGUACGGUAAUCCUGUUCUGGAAGUCAUGUUACUAGACCAUGACGAACUUGUGAACUAUGAGGAAGCGAUGAUGAGCCCAGAUUCCACGAAAUGGUUUGAGGCCAUGAAAUCUGAGAUAUGAUCCAUGUAUGAGAACAAAGUAUGGACUUUGAUGGAUUUGCCCGAUGAUCGGCAAGCCAUAGAAAAUAAAUGGAUCUUCAAGAGGAAGACGGACGCUGAUAGUAGUGUUACUAUCUACAAAGCUAGACUUGUUGAAAAAGGUUUUUGACAAAGUUCAAGGUGUUGACUACGAUGAAAUUUUCUCACUCGUAGCGAUGCUUAAGUCUAUCCAAAUCAUGUUAGCAAUUGCCGCAUUUUUAUGAAAUCUGGAAAAUGGAUAAAUAAAACUACAUUCUUUAAUGGAUUUAAAGAAAAGUUGUAUAUGAUGCAACCAGAAGGUUUUGUCAAUCCUAAAGAUGCUAACAAAAUAUGCAAGCUCCGGCGAUCCAUCUAUGGACCGGUGCAAGCAUCUCGGAGUUGGAAUAUACGCUUUGAUAAGUUGAUCAAAGCAUAUAGUUUUAUACAGACUUGCGGUGAAGCCUGUAUUUACAAGAAAGUGAGUGGGAGCACUAUAGCAUUUCUGAUAAGUAUAUGUGUAUGACAUAUUGUUAAUCGGAUAUAAUGUAGAAUUAUUCUGCAAAGCAUAAAGGAGUGUUUGAAAGGAUUUUUUCAAAGAAAACCUCGGUGAAGCUGCUUACAUAUUGAGCAUCAAGAUCUAUAGAGAUAGAUCAAGACGCUUGAUAAGUUUUUUUUUCAAUGAGUACAUACCUUGACAAGAUUUUGAAGUAGUUCAAAAUGGAACAGUCAAAGAAAGAAUUCUUGCCUGUGUUACAAGGUGUGAAAUUGAGUACGACUCAAAGCCCGACCACGGCAGAAAAUAGAAUGAGAAUGAAGGUCAUUCCCUAUGCCUUGGCCAUAGGUUCUAUAAAGUAUGCCAUGCUGUGUACCAGACCUAUUGUAUACCCUACACUAAUUUUGGCAAGGGAGUACAAUAGUGAUCUAGGAGUAGAUCACUGGACAGCGGUAAAAAUUAUCCUUAGUGGAAUAAGGAUAUGUUUCUCUAUUAUGGAGGUGACAAAAGGUUCGUCGUAAAAGGGUUACGUCGAUACAAGUUUUGGCACUGAUCCGGAUGACUCUUAGUCUUCAUCUGGAUACAUAUUGAAAGUGGGAGCAAUUAGCUAAAGUAGCUCCGUGCAGAGCAUUGUAGACAUAGAAAAUUGCAAAAUACUUACGGAUAUGAAUAUGGCAGACCCGUUGACUAAACUUCUCUCACAGGCAAAACAUGAUCACACCUUAGUACCCUUUGGGUGUUAAUCACAUAGCAAUGUGAACUAGAUUACUGACUCUAGUAAACCCUUUGGGUGUUGGUCACAUAUUGAUGUGAACUAUGGGUGUUAACCACAUAAAGAUGUGAACUAUUGAUGUUAGAUCACAUGGCGAUGUGAACUAGAUUAUUGACUCUAGUGCAAGAGGGAGACUGAAGGAAAUAUUCCCUAGAGGCAAUAAUAAAGUUAUUAUUUAUUUCCUUAUAUCAUGAUAAAUGUUUAUUAUUCAUGCUAGAAUUGUAUUAACCGGAAACAUAAUACAUGUGUGAAUACAUAGACAAACAGAGUGUCACUAGUAUGCCUCUACUUGACUAGCUCGUUAAUCGAAGAUGGUUAUGUUUCCUAACCAUGAACAAAAGAGUUGUUAUUUGAUUAACGGGAUCACAUCAUUAGAAGAAUGAUGUGAUUGACAUGACCCAUUCCAUUAGCUUAGCACCCGAUCGUUUAGUAUGUUGCUAUUGCUUUCUUCAUGACUUAUACAUGUUCCUAUGACUAUGAGAUUAUGCAACUCCCGUUUGCCGGAGGAACACUUUGUGUGCUACCAAAUGUCACAAUGUAACUGGGUGAUUAUAAAGGAGCUCUACAGGUGUCUCCAAAGGUACAUGUUGGGUUGGCGUAUUUCGAGAUUAGGAUUUGUCACUCCGAUUGUCGGAGAGGUAUCUCUGGGCCCUCUCGGUAAUGCACAUCACAUAAGCCUUGCAAGCAUUGCAACUAAUGAGUUAGUUGCGAGAUGAUGUAUUACAAAACGAGUAAAGAGACUUGCCGGUAACAAUAUGGAACUAGGUAUUGAGAUACCGACGAUCGAAUCUCGGGCAAGUAACAUACCGAUGACAAAGGGAACAACGUAUGUUGUUAUGCGGUCUGACCGAUAAAGAUCUUCAUAGAAUAUGUAGGAGCCAAUAUGAGCAUCCAGGUUCCGCUAUUGGUUAUUGACCGGAGACGUAUCUUGGUCAUGUCUACAUUGUUCUCGAACCCGUAGGGUCCACAUGCUUAAGGUUUCGAUGACAGUUAUAUUAUCAGUUUAUGCAUUUUGAUGUACCGAAGUUUGUUCGGAGUCCCGGAUGUGAUCACGGACAUGACGAAGAGUUUCGAAAUGGUCGAUACAUAAAGAUUGAUAUAUUGGAAGCCUAUAUUUGGAUAUCGGAAGUGUUCCGGGUGAAAUCGGGAUUUUACCGGAGUACUGGGAGGUUACCGGAACCCCCCGGGAGGUAUAUGGGCCUUAGUGGGCUUUAGUGGAAGAGAGGAGAGGUGGCCAGGGCUGGGCCGCGCGCCCCUCCCCCCUAGUCCGAAUAGGACAAGGAGAGGGGGGCGGCGCCCCCCCUUCCUUCUCUCUCUCCUCUUUCCCCCUCCCGAAUCCUAUUCCAACUAGGAAAGGGGGGGAAUCCUACUCCCGGUGGGAGUAGGACUCCUCCUGGCGCGCCCUCCUCCUGCCCGGCCGCACCCCCCCUUGAUCCUUUAUAUACGGGGGCAGGGGGCACCCCUACACACACAAGUUGAUCCACGUGAUCAUAUUCUUAGCCAUGUGCGGUGCCCCCUUCCACCAUAAUCCUCGAUAAUAUUGUAGCGGUGCUUAGGCGAAGCCCCGCGACGAUAGUACAUCAAGAUCGUCACCACGCCGUCGUGCUGACGGAACUCUUCCCCGACACUUUUCUGGAUCGGAGUCCGGGGAUCGUCAUCGAGCUGAACGUGUGCUAGAACUCGGAGGUGCCGUAGUUUCGGUGCUUGAUCGGUCGGGCCGUGAAGACGUACGACUACAUCAACCGCGUUGUGCUAACGCUUCCGCUGUCGGUCUACAAGGGUACGUAGAUCACACUCUCCCCUCUCGUUGCUAUGCAUCACCAUGAUCUUGCGUGUGCGUAGGAAUUUUUUUUGAAAUUACUACGUUCCCCAACAAGCACGGUGGUCUUAGAUGAAUCUGUUUGUGGAGAUAUCCCUCAGCUUCAGGUAGAGGAGAAUGAUAUUCUAUCUGCACCGUUUACGGAGAAGAAGGUCUUGGAUGCAAUCUCACAAAUGAAACCGAAUAAAGCACCGGGACCAGAUGGGUUUCCAGCUAAAUUCUAUAAGAAAUGUUGGCAUAUUAUUCAGGGUUUGUUUAGGUCUCAGUCGACCGAGACUUCACGAAAUCUUAGUCGGCUGACGUCACCUUUUUUUUUGGCUUUUUUGCUUUAUUGUCCAGCCCAUACUAUGUCAUCUCUGGUCGCCUUUUGGGCUGCCCCGUUUGUCUUUGCUUUGUGUGUUUUUCAGCUGAGUUGGGCCAGAGAUUGGGCAGUAUUUUUGUUCCGUGCUGCUGCUCCAUUGACUACCCGGCCGGAUGUAUUAGUUUGUUGUUCGUGAAAAAAAUUAACAUGCGGUUAGUAUCAAUUUUGUCCGGUUUUACUUUUCAUUUUUCUCCUUCCAUUCUUAUUUAUACUAUUUUUGUUUCUAGAAAAUGUAAGCAUUAGUCGUGAUAUUUAUUUAAGAAAUAUGUUCAUUUUUUACAAAUAUUAAUCAUGUAUUUAAAAAAAUUAGAGUGCCAUUAGAUAAUGUACAAUAUUGUUUAAAAAUAUUCAUCAUGAAAUUAGAAAAAUGUUUAGCAUUAUUUAAUGAUGGUUUUACCUUGCAUUUUUCUUAGAUUGGGUCUCAUCUAUUUGUAAUUUUGCUAUCAUCCACAAAUUGACAAUGGUAAUACUAACAAAAUAAGAGAGCCAAUCAUAUUCAGUUACACAUGCGCUGCAGAGGUGCAACUGGAUUGGUGUGUCACGUUUAAAAAAAAAUAAAAACACCUCUUUUUAGAGAAACAAAAAAAAUUAAAAAGAUAUUAAAUAAGAAAAACAAAGUAAAUAAUGGGGUGUGGAUACGGUCCAGUCGACUGAGAUUUAAAUAAGUCUUAAUCAGCAGGCAUCCUAGUGUCAGACAUACAACUGGCCCACUCCCUCUCCCGCCGACCCUCUUACAAAACAAAGGUCCAGUUGCAGCCAUGUUGGGGAACUGAAAGCACAAGUGCUCCCUGGAUGGUUUUGGUAAUUAAUGUCAACAUAUCUCUUGUUGGACUAACACUUUUACCUAGUAUGUUUCAGAUAAGUUCAACAAUGGAGUGACAUGGACUAGAGGAUGUGGAACCCAUUCAAGAUGCUAAGGACAAAGGAUUGGCUCAAGCUUCAAGAUCAAGACUCUACAUUUUCUAUUUUAGUGAUCCAAGAUCACAUUGAGUCUAUAGGAAAAGCCAAUACUCUCAAGAGGGGAUGAGGUGUUGCUUAAUGGCUUGCUUGCUCAAAGUGCUUAGUGAUAUGCUCCAAAACCCUCAACUAUCGUCCCACAUCCACAUAUGACCUAAACCAAAAGUCAAACUCGGCCCCACCGAUUCUAUCUAUCCAGCGCCACCGAGUUUCAGAUGUCAUAGCCACUGCCACAAACCCUAGCAAAUCGGUUUCACCGAUAGUGAUCUCGGUCUCACCGAGAUGGGAUUGUAAUCUCUCUGUGUAUGUCCAUUACCAAAAUCGGUCUCACCGAGUUUGAGCAAUCGGUACUACCGAGAUUACAAUGCAAACCCUCUGGUUAGCUUAUUACCAAAAUCGGUCCCACUGAGUUUGUGUAAUCAGUCCCACCGAGUUUACCUGACCAACUCUCUGGUUAGCUUAUUACCAAAAUCGGUCCCACCGAGUUUGUGUAAUCGGUCACACCAAGAUUACGUUAUGCCCUAACCCUAACCAUAUCGGUCCUACCGAGUUGCAUCUCAGUCCCACCAAAAAUCCUAACGGUUACUAGGUUUGCUGAAUCGGUCCGAUCGAGUUUAACCAUUCGGCCCCACCGAGUUUGGCAAAUUGUGUGUAAUGGUUAGAUUUUGUGUGGAGGCUAUAUAUACCCCUCCACCCACUCUUCAUUCAUGGAGAGAGCCAUCAGAACAUACCUACACUUCCAAUACACAUUUUCUGAGAGAGAACCACCUACACUUGUGUUGAGGUCAAGAUAUUCCAUUCCAACCAUAUGAAUCUUGAUCUCUAGCCUUUCCCAAGUUGAUUUCCACUCAAAUCUUAUUUCCACCAAAUCCAAAUCCUGUGAGAGAGAGUUGAGUGUUGGGGAGACUAUCAUUUGAAGCACAAGAGCAAGGAGUUCAUCAUCAACACACCAUUUGUUACUUCGAGUGGUGUCUCCUAGAUUGGCUAGGUGUCACUUGGGAGCCUCCAACAAGAUUGUGGAGUUGAACCAAGGAGUUUGUAAGGGCAAGGAGAUCGCCUACUUCAUGAAGAUCUACCGCUAGUGAGGCAAGUCCUUCGUGGGCGACGGCCGUGAUGGAAUAGAAAAGGUUGCUUCUUCGUGGACCCUUCAUGGGUGGAGCCCUCCGUAGACUCGUGCAACUAUUACCCUCCGUGGGUUGAAGUCUUCAUCAACGUGGAUGUACGAUAGCACCACCUAUCGGAACCACGACAAAAACAUCCGUGUCUCCAAUUGCGUUUGAAUACUUCAAACCCUUCUCUUUACAUUCUUGCAAGUUGCAUGCUUUACUUUCCGCUGCUCAUAUACUCAUUGCAUGCUUGCUUGAUAUGUAUUGUGUUUGUUAAACUUGUGCUUAAACUCCACUUAAACUUAAGAAUAUUAAAAACUGCAACUUUUGGCACUUAGUGUCUAAUCACCCCCCUCUAGACACCUCUUCUCGAUCCUUUCAGGGACAUGCAGUUGCGGUCGGGUGCGGCGCUUGCAGCUGCGGGGUUCUUGUCGAGCUUGCAACUAACAUGCCCCCUCUCCCGGCAUCCCCUCUGAUAGAACAAAAAAGUCCAAUUGCGGUCAGGUUAAAAGACAUGCAGUUGCGGUCGAAUGCGGCACUUACAGUUGUGGGGCUGUUGUUGAGCUUGCAACUGGCCCACCCCAUCUCCCAGCGCCCCCUCCGACAAAGCAAAAGUCGAGUUGCAACCAUGUUGGGGGACAUGCAGUUCCGGUCGGGUGCAACACUUGCAGUUGCGGGGCUGUUGUCGGGCGUGCAAGUGGCCGGCCCCUCUCCCGGCGCCCCCUCUGACAAAACAAAAUCGAGUUGCAACCAUGUUGGGGGACAUGCAGUUGCGGGGCUGUUGUCAAGCUUGCAACUGGCCCGCCCCUCUCCUGGCGCCCCCUCUGACAAAACAAAAGUAGAGUUGCAACCAUGUUGGGGGACAUGUAGUUGCGGUCGGGUGCGGCACUUGCAGUUGCGGUGCUGUUGUCGGGCUUGCAACUGGCCCGCCCCCUCUCCCGGCACCCCAUCCGGCAAAACAAAAGUCGAGUUGCAACCAUGUUGGGGGACAUGCAGUUGCGGGAUCGGGGUAACACUAGAUAAGCAGUGUUGCGUGAAUCUUACGGAAACAGUGAUCUAACAGCCAUAUAUGUGUAUCGGGACUUCAGUUAAACUCAAUCGACUAAAUUUUAGCAAUCCAGGUAAUAAAAUUUCAACUAUCGCAACCAACAUUUACUUACAAAGCAUCUGAUGGAUGUGCAACUAAAAAUGAUUAACAAAAAAUUGGUAGGAAAUUUCGUUGCUAAAAUAGGGCUGCUAGAAAUUUAGAAAAUAUGCCAAAAUCAAAUAGAAUAAAACACAACAUCAAAAAGCAAGGACAAAAGGAAAAAUUAAAUUAAAUAAGAAAUGAAAAAAUGGAAAUGGAUAAGCAAAUAAUAAGUAAAAACAAAUAAAAGGAAAGUUAAAGACUUAUAUAAAUUAAAUGAAAAGUAAAACAAUAAAAAGAAGAAAAAGGUAAAGAAAAAAAGAAAAAAGAAAAUUUCUUUUGGGAAAAAGAGAAGCCAUCGUGACUUCCUCUCCUACAGGCAAAACUCACUUGUGUAGGGCGAGAAAAAGAAAUAAAACAAAGUACUUUUCUUGUAGGCUGACAAAAAUAACUAAAAAAACACACUCGGGAAAUUUGGGCUGCACAACAAAGGGAACAAAACCCAGAAGAAAAAUAAAAGAAAGGCUCUCUCAUCUCCACCGGCCCGUGUAGAGAGAAAGAAAAGAGUUGGUUCGAGCCAACGUACACGUACACACGGAUUGUUAUCGACUGAGACUUAGUAAAAAAUUAGUCGACUAUAUUUAGCGUAGCCGUUUUAUUAAAGAUGAUCUUAUGCCUAUAUUUCAUGAUUUCUUUAACAGUCAUCUAGAGCUAUUUCAUAUUAACUUUGGCAUGAUUACGCUAUUGCCAAAGAAAGAAGAAGUAGUUCGGAUCGAACAAUUCAGGCCCAUAUGUCUUCUUAAUGUGAGUUUCAAAAUUUUCACAAAAGUGGGUACCAAUAAAUUGACACAUAUUGCUCAUUCAGUGGUACAACCGAGGCAGACAGCGUUCAUGCCAGGGCGACACAUACUUGAAGGGGUGGUCGUCUUGCAUGAAAUGCUACAUGAAAUCCAUUCGAAUAAGCUAGAUGGGGUUAUCUUCAAAGUGGAUUUUGAGAAGGCAUAUGAUAAAGUUAAGUGGCCUUUCCUUCAGCAGGCCAUGCACAUGAAAGGAUUUAGUGAGACUUGGCGGAACCAAGUGGGUUCUCAAGUCCAAAAGGGUUGUGUCGGAAUCAAGGUUAACGAUGACAUCGGUCAUUACUUUCAGACACACACAAGGGUUUGAGACAAGGAGAUUCCAUGUCUCCUCUCUUGUUUAAUAUAGUGACCGAUUUGUUGGCCAUUCUUAUUGGCAGAGCCAAGCAGCAUGGUCAAGUGGAGGGAUUAGUUUCUCAUCUGGUUGAUGGAGGAGUAUCCAUCUUACAGUACGCUGACGACACUAUCUUAUUCAUGGAACAUGACAUUGCAAAAGUGCGAAAUAUGAAACUUAUAUUAUGUCUCUUCGAACAACUGUCUGGUUUAAAGAUAAACUUUCACAAGUGUGAGUUGUUCUGCUCUGGGAAGGCCAAAGACGAGCAAGACACAUAUAGACAAUUGUUCGGGUGUGAAUUAGGUUCUUUACCAUUUAGUUAUUUGGGCAUAUCGAUUCAUCACUGUAAGUUAUCUAAUAAAGAAUGGAACUGUAUAGAAGAUCGAAUUGAGAAAAAGCUGAGCUGUUGGAAGGGCAAGCUUAUAUCUUAUGGAGCUCGGCUAGUGCUGAUUAAUUCGGUACUGACUAGUAUGCCGAUGUUCCUAUUAUCGUUCUUUGAAAUUCCGAAAGGGGUACGAAAGCGACUUGAUUUCUUCAUAUCUCGGUUCUUCUGGUAGUCAGAUGAGUCCAAGAGGAAAUACCGACUCGCGUGAUGGGAUAUCCUUUGCUAACCAAAAGACCAGGGGGGUCUCGGUAUUGAGAACUUAGAAAUCAAGAAUAAGUGCCUUAUGAGCAAAUGGCUCUACAUGUUAGAGACAGAGCCGGAGGGCAUGUGGUAUAGAUUUUGCGCAAUAAAUGUUUGCAGUCGAAAAUGCUUGCCCAGGUUACCAUGAGACCAACUGACUCGCCAUUCUGGAAAGGGCUUAUGAGAACGAAGGACUUGUUCUUUCAUAGGGUCAAAUUCUUGGUUGGCAAUGGGAUGUCAACAAGAUUUUGGGAGGAUGCGUGGUUAGGAGAGACGCCCCUGGUCGUACAUAUCCAACCCUUUAUAACAUUAUGCAAAGGAGGAUUAUGUAGGCACAGUUUUCCAAACGAUUCCCUUGAAUAUUGAGUUCAGACGCGCGUUAGUUGGUGAGAGAUGACCUGCCUGGAUGCACUUGGUUAGGAGGUUGAUAUAUGUUCAACUCUCUGACCAGCCGGAUUUGAUGCAAUUGAAAUUAGCUAAAAAUGGGUUUUUACGGUGAAAUCUUUAUAUGGAUUUGAUUAAUUCUGGCCCAGUCUCAAGAUCGUUGCAUAUUUGGAAAAUUAUGGUUCCUUUGCGUAUUAAUUUUUUUAUGUGGUUUGUCCACAAACAAGUAAUACUCACUAAGGACAACUUAAUCAAGAGGCGAUGGGUAGGUAGUUCACGGUUUUGUUUCUGUGAUCAUGAUGAAACAAUACAACAUUUAUUUCUUAAAUGCACAUGAUGUCUACUACACAACCUUCUUCUUGUAGACGUUGUUGGGCCUCCAAGUGCAGAGGUUUGUAGGACAGUAGAAAAUUUCCCUCAAGUGGAUGACCUAAGGUUUAUCAAUCCGUAGGAGGCGUAGGAUGAAGAUGGUCUCUCUCAAGCAACCCUGCAACCAAAUAACAAAGAGUCUCUUGUGUGCCCAACACACCCAAUACAAUGGUAAAUUGUAUAGGUGCACUAGUUCGGCGAAGAGAUGGUGAAACAAGUGGUAUAUGGAUAGUAGAUAAAGGUAUUUUUAAUCUGAAAUUAUAAAAACAGCAAGGUAGCAAGUGAUAAAAGUGAGCGUAAACGGUAUUGCAAUGCGUGGAAACAAGGCCUAGGGUUCAUACUUUCGGUAGUGUAAGUUCCCUCAACAAUACUAACAUAAUUUGAUCACAUAACUAUCCCUCAACAUGCAACAAAGAGUCACUCCAAAGUCACUAAUAGCGGAGAAUGAACGAAGAGAUUAUGGUAGGGUACGAAACCACCUCAAAGUUAUUCUUUCCAAUCAAUCCGUUGGGCUAUUCCUAUAAGUGUCACAAACAACCCUAGAGUUCGUACUAGAAUAACACCUUAAGACACAAAUCAAUCAAAACCCUAAUGUCAUCUAGAUACUCCAAUGUCACCUCAAGUAUCCGUGGGUAUGAUUAUACGAUAUGCAUCACACAAUCUCAGAUUCAUCUAUUCAACCAACACAAAGGACCUCAAAGAGUGCCCCAAAGUUUCUAUCGGAGAAUCACGACGAAAACGUGUGCCAACCCCUAUGCAUAGGUUCCCAAUGUCACGAAACCCGCAAGUUGAUCACCUUAAUAUACAUCAAGUGGCACUUGGUAUCCCAUUAUCACCACAGAUAUCCACGGCAAGACAUACAUCAAGUGUUCUCAAAUCUUUAAAGACUCAAUCCGAUAAGAUAACUUCAAAGGGGAAACUCAAUUCAUUGCAAGAGAGUAGAGGGGGAGGAGAAACAUAAGAUCCAACUAUAAUAGCAAAGCUCACGAUACAUCAAGAUCAUGCCAAAUCAAGAACACGAGAGAGAGAUCAAACACAUAGCUACUGGUACAUACCCUCAGCCCCGAGGGAGAACUACUCCCUCCUCAUUAUGGAGAGCACCGAGAUGAUGAAGAUGGCCACCGGAGAAGGAUUGCCCCCUCCGGCAGGGUGCCAGAACGGGUCUAGAUUGGUUUUCGGUGGCUAUGGAGGCUUCUGGCGGCGGAACUCCCGAUCUAAUCUCUGUUCUGGAAGUUUUAGGGUAUAUGGAGUUUUAUAGGCAGAAGAAGCACGUCAGGGGAGCCACGGAUGCCCCACGAGGUAGGGGGGGCGCACCCUAGGGGGGUGGGCACGCCCCCCACCCUCGUGGGCAGCUCCUGUAUCUUCUGACGUGGGGUCCAAGUCCAUUAGGUGUGUUUCCUUCCAAAAAUAACUUCUCCAGUUGAUUUCGUUCCGUUUCGACUCCGUCUGAUAUUCCUUUUCUUCAAAACACUGAAAUAGGCACAAAACAACAAAUCUGGGCUGGGCCUCCGGUUAAUAGGUUAGUCCCAAAAAUAAUAUAAAUGUGGAUAAUAAAGCCCAAUAUUGCCCAAAACAGUAGAUAAUAUAGCAUGGAGCAAUCAAAAAUUAUAGAUACGUUGGAGACGUAUCAAGCAUCCCCAAGCUUAAUUCCUGCUCGUCCUCGAGUAGGUAAACGAUGAAAAAGAUAAUUUUUGAUGUGGAAUGCUAGUUGGCAUAAUUUCAAUGUAAUUCUUCUUACUUGUGAUAUGAAUAUUCAGAUCCGAAAGAUUCAAGACAAAAGUUCAUAUUGACAUAAAAAUAAUAAUACUUCAAGCAUACGAACAAAGCAAUCAUGUCUUCUCAAAAUAACAUGGCCAAAGAAAGUUAUCCCUACAAAAUCAUAUAGUCUGGUUAUGCUCUAUCUUCACCACACAAAAUAUUUAAAUCAUGCACAACCCCGAUGACAAGCCAAGCAAUUUGUUUCAUACUUUUGAUGUUCUCAAACUUUUUCAAUCUUCACGCAAUACAUGAGCGUGAGCCAUGGACAUAGCACUAUAGGUGGAAUAGAAUGGUGGUUGUGGAGAAGACAAAAAGGGAGAAGAUAGUCUCACAUCAACUAGGCGUAUCAACGGGCUAUGGAGAUGCCCAUCAAUAGAUAUCAAUGUGAGUGAGUAGGGAUUGCCAUGCAAUGGAUGCACUAGAGCUAUAAGUAUAUGAAAGCUCAAAAAGAAACUAAGUGAGUGUGCAUCCAACUUGCUUUCUCAUGAAGACCUAGGGCAAUUUGAGGAAGCCCAUCAUUGGAAUAUACAAGCUAAGUUCUAUAAUGAAAGAUUCCCACUAGUAUAUGAAAGUGACAACAUAGGAGACUCUCUAUCAUGAAGAUCAUGGUGCUACUUUGAAGCACAAGUGUGGUAAAUGGAUAGUAACAUUGUCCCUUCUCUCUUUUUCUCUCAUUUGUUUUGGGCCUUCUCUUUUUUAUGGCCUUUCUCUUUUUUUGGGCCUUCUCUUUUUUAUGGCAUUUCUCCUUUUAUUUUCUUUUUCGUUCGGAGUCUCAUCCUGACUUGUGGGGGAAUCAUAGUCUCCAUCAUUCUUUCCUCACUGGGACAAUGCUCUAAUAAUGAUGAUCAUCACACUUUUAUUUACUUACAACUCAAGAAUUACAACUCGAUACUUAGAACAAGAUAUGACUCUAUAUGAAUGCCUCCGACGGUGUACUGGGAUGUGCAAUGAUGCAUGAGUGACAUGUAUGGAAGAAUUAUGAAUGGUGGCUUUGCCACAAAUACGAUGUCAACUACAUGAUCAUGCAAGCAAUAUGACAAUGAUGGAGUGUGUCAUAAUAAUGGAACGGUGGAAAGUUGCAUGGCAAUAUAUCUCGGAAUGGCUAUGGAAAUGCCAUAAUAGGUAGGUAUGGUGGCUGUUUUGAGGAAGAUAUAUGGUGGGUUUAUGGUACCGGCGAAAGUUGCGCGGUACUAGAGAGGCUAGAAAUGGUUGAAGGGUGAAAGUGCGUAUAAUCCAUGGACUCAACAUUAGUCAUAAAGAACUCACAUACUUAUUGCAAAAAUCUAUUAGUUAUCAAAACAAAGUACUACGCGCAUGCUCCUAGGGGGAUAGAUUGGUAGGAAAAGACCAUCGCUCGUCCCCGACCGCCACUCAUAAGGAAGACAAUCUAUAAAUAAAUCAUGCUCCGACUUCAUCACAUAACGGUUCACCAUACGUGCAUGCUACGGGAAUCACAAACCUCAACACAAUUAUUUCUCAAAUUCACAACUACUCAACUAGCAUGACUCUAAUAUCACCAUCUCCAUAUCUCAAAACAAUCAUCAAGCAUCAAACUUCUCAUAGUAUCCAACACACUCAUAAGAGAAUUUUAUUAUUCUUGAAUACCUAGCAUAUUAGGAUUUUAAGCAAAUUACCAUGCUAUUAAGACUCUUAAAAUAAUAUAAGUGAAGCAUGAGAGUUCAUCUAUUUCUUCAAAAUAAAACCACAACCAUGCUCUAAAAGGUAUAAGUGAAGCACUAGAGCAAAUGACAAACUACUCCGAAAGAUAUAAGUGAAGAUCAAUGAGUAGUUGAAUAAUUAUGCAACUAUGUGAAGACUCUCUAACAUUUAAUAAUUUCAGAUAUUGGUAUUUUAUUCAAACAGGAAGCAAAGCGAAAUAAAAUGACAUUCUAAGAAUAGCAAACAUCAUUCGAAGAAGCAAUAACUUAGGAUCAACCGAUACUGACCGAUAGUUGUUGAAGAAGAAAGGUGGGAUGCCAACCGGGGCAUCCCCAAGCGUAGAUGCUUGAGACUUAUUGAAAUAUUAUCUUGGGGUGCCUUGGGCAUCCCCAAGCUUGAGCUUUUGUGUCUCCUUAAUUCCUCUGAUAUCACGGUCUCCCUAAAUCUCAAAAGAUUUAUCCACACAAAACUCAACAAGGACUCGUGAGAUAAGUUAGUAUAAACCAUUGCAAAAACCUUAUCAUACUCUACUGUAGCAAAUCACUAAAAUUAUUAUUCAACAUUGCAUACUGAAUGCCUCUGCAUAUUUAAUAGUCCUAUCCUCAAAUAUAAUCAUUAAAGAAGCAAACAUAUGCAAACAAUGCAAACAUAACAGCAAUCUGCCUAAACAGGAUAGUCUGUAAAGAAUGCUGCAACAUCCAUACUUCCCUAGCUCCAAAAAUUAUGAAAUAAAAUUCCCACUGUAGUAAAUUUAUCAGAGCUUAAUAUGCAAAAGGUUUCAACAUUUUAUCGCAUUCUGACUUUUCUAGGGAAUUAUUGCAACAACGGUAAACUUUCUGUUUUCAAACAGCAACAUGUAUACUUGUAACAUAGGCAUAGUAAAGGCUAUCAAUGCCACUUUUAUUGAAAUAAAAGAUGCAAAAAAUUAUUAUAAAUAACAGCAAGCAAAUUCUAACAAAAUAAAUUGACGCUCCAAGCAAAACACAUAUCAUGUGGCGAAUAAGAAUAUAGCUCCAAGUAAAGUUACCAAUGAACGAAGACGAAAGAGGGGAUGCCUUCCGGAGCAUCCCCAAGCUUAGGCUCUUGGAUAUCCUUGAAUAUUACCUUGGGGUGCCUUGUGCAUCCCCAAGCUUAGGCUCUUUCCACUCCUUAUUCCAUAGUCCAUCGAAUCCUUAUCCAAAACUUGAAAACUUCACAACACAAAACUUAACAGAAAACUCGUAAGCUCCGUUAGCGAAAGAAAACAAAACACUACUUCAAGGUACUGUAAUGAACUCAUUAUUUAUUUAUAUUGGUGUUAAACCUACUGUAUUACAACUUCUCUAUGGUUUAUAAACUAUUUUACUAGCCAUAGAUUCAUCAAAAUAAGUAAACAACACAUGAAAAAUAGAAUGUGUCAAAAACAGAAUAGUCUGUAGUAAUCUGAAUCAAACGUAAACUUCUGAAACUCAUAAAAUUCUCAAAUGAAUUGCUGGACCUGAGGAAUUUAUCUAUUAAUCAUAUUCAAAAAGAAUUAACUAAAUAUCACUCUCUAAAUAAAAAUGGCAGCAAUUCUCGUGAGCGCUAAAGUUUCUGUUUUUUACAGUAUGAUCAACAAGACUCUCCCCAAGUCUUCCCAAAGGUUCUACUUGGCACAAAAACUAAUUAAAAGCAUAAAACCACAUCUAAAUAGAGGCUAGAUGAAUUAUUUAUUAUUAAACAGGAACAAAAAGCAAGGAACAAAAAUAAAGUUGGGUUGCCUCCCAACAAGCGCUAUCUUUUAGUGCCCCUAGCUAGGCAUGAUGAUUUCAAUGAUGCUCACAUAAAAGAUAAAAAUUGUAACAUAAAAAGAGCAUCAUGAAGAAUAUGACUAGCAAAUUUAAGUCUAACAUACUUCCUAUGCAUAGGGAUUUUGUGAGCAAACAACUUAUGAGAGCAAUAAUCAACUAGCAUAGGAAGGCAAAACAAGCAUAACUUCAAGAUUUUAAGCACAUAGAGAGGAAACUUGAUAUUAUUGUAAUCCAUACAAGCAUAUGUUCCUCCAUCAUAAUAAUUUUCAGUAGCAUCAUGAAUGAAUUCAACAAUAUAACCAGCAUCUAAAGCAUUCUUUUCAUGAAUAAUAGUGGGAGAAAAUUCAACAAAAUAACUAUCACGUGAUUGCGAAUUAAGAUGAAGAUGACAAGUUUCAUAGUUAUUAUUAUUCUUUAAAGCAUACGUGUCAUCACAAUAAUCAUCAUAGAUAGGAGGCAUGCUUUCAUCAUAGUAAAUUUGCUCAUCAAAACUUGAGGGACAAAAAAUAUCAUCUUCAUCAAACAUAGCUUCCCCAAACUUGUGGCUUUGAAUAUCAUUGGCAUCAUGGAUAUUCAAGGAAUUCAUACUAACAACAUUGCAAUCAUGCUCAUCAUUCAAAUAUUUAGUGCCAAACAUUUUAUAGAUUUCUUCUUCUAGCACUUGAGCACAAUUAUCCUUUCCAUCAUACUCACAAAAGAUAUUAAAAAGGUGAAGCGUAUGAGACAAACUUAAUUCCAUUUUUUUGUAAUUUUCUUUUAUAGACUAAACUAGUGAUAAAACAAGAAACUAAAAGACUCGAUUGCAAGAUCUAAAGAUAUACCUUCAAGCGCUAACCUCCCUGGCAACGGCGCCAGAAAAGAGCUUGAUGUCUACUACACAACCUUCUUCUUGUAGACGUUGUCGGGCCUCCAAGUGCAGAGGUUUGUAGGACAGUAGCAAAUUUCCCUCAAGUGGAUGACCUAAGGUUUAUCAAUCCGUAGGAGGCGUAGGAUGAAGAUGGUCUCUGUCAAGCAACCCUGCAACCAAAUAACAAAGAGUCUCUUGUGUCCCCAACACACCCAAUACAAUGGUAAAUUGUAUAGGUGCACUAGUUCGGCGAAGAGAUGGUGAAACAAGUGGUAUAUGGAUAGUACAUAAAGGUAUUUGUAAUCUGAAAUUAUAAAACAGCAAGGUAGCAAGUGAUAAAAGUGAGCGUAAAUGGUAUCGCAAUGCGUGGAAACAAGUCCUAGGGUUCAUACUUUCGCUAGUGUAAGUUCCCUCAACAAUACUAACAUAAUUGGAUCAGAUAACUAUCCCUCAACAUGCAACAAAGAGUCACUCCAAAGUCACUAAUAGCGGAGAACGAACGAAGAGAUUAUGGUAGGGUACGAAACCACCUCAAAGUUAUUCUUUCCAAUCAAUCCGUUGGGCUAUUCCUAUAAGUGUCACAAACAGCCCUAGAGUUCGUACUAGAAUAACACCGUAAGACAAAAAUCAAUCAAAACCCUAAUGUCACCUAGAUACUCCAAUGUCACCUCAAGUAUCUGUGGAUAUGAUUAUACGAUAUGCAUCACACAAUCUCAGAUUCAUCUAUUCAACCAACACAAAGGACCUCAAAGAGUACCCCAAAGUUUCUACGGGAGAAUCAUGACGAAAACGUGUGCCAACCCCUAUGCAUAGGUUCCCAAUGUCACGAAACCCGCAAGUUGAUCACCUUAACAUACAUCAAGCGGCAUGUGGUAUCCCAUUGUCACCACAGAUAUCCACGGCAAGAUAUACAUCAAGUGUUCUUAAAUCUUUAAAGACUCAAUCCGAUAAGAUAACUUCAAGGGGAAACUCAAUUCAUUACAAGAGAGUAGAGGGGGAGGAGAAACAUAAGAUCCAACUAUAAUAGCAAAGCUCGCGAUAUAUCAAGAUCGUGCCAAAUCAAGAACACGAGAGAGAGAGAGAGAGAGAGAUCAAACACAUGGCUACUGGUACAUACCCUCAGCCCCUAGGGAGAACUACUCCCUCCUCGUCAUGGAGAGCACAGGUAUGAUGAAGAUGGCCACCGAAGAAGGAUUGCCCCCUCUGGCAGGGUGCCAGAACGAGUCUAGAUUGGUUUUCGGUGGCUACGGAGGCUUCUGGCGGCGGAACUCCUGAUCUAAUCUCUGUUCUGGAAGUUUUAGGGUAUAUGGAGUUAUAUAGGCAGAAGAAGCACGUCAGGGGAGCCAUGGGGGCCCCACAAGGCAGGGGGGCGCGCCCCCACCCUCGUGGGCAGCUCCCGUAUCUUCUGACGUGGGGUCGAAGUCCAUCAGGUGUGUUUCCUUCCAAAAAUAACUUCUCUAGUUGAUUUCGUUCCGUUUCGACUCCGUCUGAUAUUCCUUUUUUUCAAAACACUGAAAUAGGCAUAAAACAGCAAAUCUGGGCUGGGCCUCCGGUUAAUAGGUUAGUACCAAAAAUAAUAUAAAAGUGGAUAAUAAAGCCCAAUAUUGCCCAAAACAGUAGAUACUAUAGCAUGGAGCAAUCAAAAGUUAUAGAUACGUUGGAGACGUAUCAGCCCACUCGCCAAAUUGCUUUGGAGAACGAUUCAUAUAGACUUCAACAUCAAUCCUCCAGUUGACAUUGAGUCGUUGUUUGGACCGUGGUUAGCUGGGGUUGAACAUACUACUGCGGCUCGUAUUCGGAUUGGAAUAUGUGCACUUCUGUGGGCUAUAUGGAACUGUAGGAAUGAUUUGAUUUUUAACAGACAAUACACUUUAACUUCUUGCAGGUCAUCUUCAGAGCUACCGCAUGGAUCCGUACAUGGUCCUUACUCACUCCUAUGGACUCCAGGGAGCCUUUGGUUACUGGGUGCAACCAGUGGGAGAUGUUAUCACGGGUUAUAUUCAACUGGUUCGUAUGACGGUCGCAUAACAUGAUAGGAGUCUAGGAAAUUUAUCCUUCAUAUUGCCGUACCGGUUGUGAUUGUCAGCAUGUAUUUUCCUUUUAUUAUUUCGCUUCGCUCUACUUGCGAGCUGUAAUACUUUUAUGACUUUAUGAUAUUUCAUGGCUUUUUUAAUAAGAUGGCUGCAUGCAUCAUUAUGAUGCAGAGGCCAGGGAUACGCCUCUAUUUCCAAAAAAAAUCUAGGCAUAAGGUUUUAAGCUAGCUGAAUAUGUUGUAAUCGUAAUUUAGUUAAUUUUCCUUAUGUUGCAUACCUCGAACUGGAGGCUGGUGCAUAGGACUUGUGAAGUUGGGAUGAUGACGUUGAGCUGCAAGACAUUCUCAAUUACUGAAAUGAAAUCGGGUCUCGGGAAAAAAUCUGUUAAUCAUAAUUGUAAUAUUUAUAUUUGAACUAUCUUCGCAUUUCAAAAUUUUAGUCACCUAAGAUUUGAUAUGUUAAUUUUUUAAGUGUUGCGGACUUUAAAAAUAUAGGGAUGACCUACUCCUGUAUCCAGAUCCAAAGAUGAGUCCAAACAUUACACAGACAUAUAUUUUUCCAUUUUGAGGAUCGGUGUUGAAGAUGCUCUAAACCCCUAAGUGGAUUUUGAUAUAGAAUGACAAGCAACUAAGGCACUAAUAUGAGUUCUAAGUUACCUAAAAAAUGAGUUCUGAGUGUUAAAAUAGAUUUUAGUCCCAAGUGUGAACGUUACUAAUGGCCUGCAAGAGAUAUAUGAUCGUUUAGCAAAAUCCAUGGAAGUAUCCAAUUAGUUAUCAUUCCCAACCAGUAGUGGAGGAAGUAUUAAUCUUAUGGGACAAAUUUUCCCCCUAAUUUGUGUCAACUCUCAUUUUUACCCCUAAAAAAUAGUAAAUUUGUCCCUCUUUCGUCUGGUGCCCUUAUGAAAAUACCCCUACGCGUCGUUUUCGUCCGGUCAAAGGUCUUUGACCGUUGGUGAUGAUUUCUUCAAUCACUGACAAUUCUUUACCAGCAAACGUCUGCUCACAACACACACAACUUAUUAGGAGGAAUCGUCUUUGUUAUUAUCAGUCUUCCCACACAAUUCUUAUUACUCACCUGUUUGCCGGGUAUCACACACAUCUUGUUAAGCUGAAUCGUUUGUGUUCUUCUGGAUCAUCGCAAUUAGUUCGUCCGAGUGACCUGUAUGCCAUCUAUCGCACACAUCUUGUCCUGGGUAAUCAUUUGUGUUGUUUUCGCUUCUCGCAAACAGCUCAUCCGGGUGACCUGUAUGCCGUAUAUCACACACAUCUUGUCCUGGGCAAUCGUUUGUGUUCUUUUUCGUUCAUCGCAAAUAAUUCAUCCGAGUGACCCGUAUGCCGUCUAUCGCACAUACCUUGAUCUAUCUAACAAUUUCUGUUGUUUUGUCUCAUCGCAAAUAAUACGUAUGUAUCAACUGUAUGCCACAUAUCACACAUGCGACUCUUUUCUGGAUCGUAUUUUAUGGCUCCGCCAUCGCACAUGGUUUGUAUUAUUGGGACAGUUUUAUUACGACUCCGUUUGCGAUUCAUGCAUCGCACAUAGUUUUGUUGAAGGGUCUUUGAUUCAUGUGUCGCCUUAGCAGCAUCCUGCACUAGUGCUUGUUUGUUAAAAUUAGUACAAAGUUGAGUCAUCUAUUUUGAAACGAAGGAAGUAUGUUUGAAUGAUUAUUCGAAAGUAGCCCAUAGUCAAAAUUCAUGUGAGGACACAUAUGCAUAUUAAUAUUAGACUAGCACAUGUAUUGGUCGAUGACCAUGUUUCACGGAGCAUGGACAUGGAGACGUCGAACGAGUAACGUGGCCUAUGCGUGUUAGGUACAUGGGGUUGGACACGCUAAACUUGACACAUAGCAGGGUUGCUUUUGGUUGUCUCUUAUAAUGUGUAUGUUAUGUUCUUAGACCUGAGAUUAUUGUAUGUACUUGAGAUUUGUAGUGACUUACUUAGGGGUUGCCAAAUGCUACUUCGUACCUGGAUAGUUAUAAAGGCUGAUUACUUAUUUCUGAUGAAGCAUGCUACGCGACAUGAUCAGUCGAGAUGGGAUUUGCCCCUCUCUAAAAUGAGAGACAUCUCUUGGGUCCUCAAGUCAUCAGAUCUACAAAUGCAUGACCGUGCUACUUAAGGUUAAAUAGUUAACCUAGUAAAGAAUUCCGAGUCACUUAAUUGAGAAAGAGCGGUCGAGCAUGAGCUUGACCAAUAUCAUGAGACAAAGGGAAGAAUAUCAUGUAUGCAACAUUGUGUAGGGUCAUCCGAUAUGAUCUUUACUCACGUCUUGUAGUUGGCAUGUCUUGCUAGAGUCCACUACCAACUAGUGAUGGAGUCGUAGUACUCGGGUUAUGUACAAAGUAGCAUGAACCUACAAGGUGACACACUUGAAGGACCGAAGUCGAAAUGGAUUCAGCUGAAGGAUGUAUAAGAGAGUGAGUUGUUUGAGCCCUGAGCCAAUUAGGGAAGGGAGCGACAAACACUAGAAGGAUUUGCCCCUUCACUACUAAGGAAAACCUUAUAGACAGGGGCUUAUUAGUAGCGCUUUUUGAAAGGUAACACUGCUACUAAUUAUUAGUAGCGCUUGGCCGCAGAAAGCGCUGCUACUAUGCAUUUACCGGUAGCGCUGUAGUUACAAAACACGCUACUACUAUAAUUGCCAAACCGUUUGCUAGCAGGCUAGGUAUACUAGUAGCGCUGGUGUGCAAAAAGCGCUACUGCUAUUGUACGUAGCAGUAGCGCUUUCCUCUGACCAACACUACUGCUAAAUUUAGCCCCCUCCUAGACCAAAGUUUAGUCCUACCUCGCUCCGUGAACAUAAUUUUUACCACCUUAAAUAUGGUGCUUCUCAAACCAUCACAACCACUUGGUCUUUAUCAAACUCUAUGUGUUGGAUCUGUGGCCGCAAUAGGAAUCUUCGCCGGUUCUUAAACUGGCGAGGAUUCCUAUUGACAAUUCAGAUUCUACACAAAAAGAUCGAUGAUGACCAAUGCAUUUUUUAAUUUGAUGCCUUAACGAUCAUAGCCUUAGUUGUAGCGCUGGUUAAGAAAAAGCGCUACUGCUAUUGAUCGUAGCAGUAGCGCUUGUUAGAAACAAGCGCUACCACUAAAGCCCUUAUCCAAAACCGCCUGCGCGCGCGUCCCCUCACCCCCCCUCACACUCACAUCGUACACCGCUUCGUCGCCGUCGCCGUCAUCCCUCCUCCUCCGUCGUCGUCAUCCUCCUCCACCCCAAGGUGCCUCCCUCCUCCUCCCUCUCCCUCGGCGCCCCCCUCCUCCUCCUCCCUCNNNNNNNNNNNNNNNNNNNNNNNNNNNNNNNNNNNNNNNNNNNNNNNNNNNNNNNNNNNNNNNNNNNNNNNNNNNNNNNNNNNNNNNNNNNNNNNNNNNNNNNNNNNNNNNNNNNNNNNNNNNNNNNNNNNNNNNNNNNNNNNNNNNNNNNNNNNNNNNNNNNNNNNNNNNNNNNNNNNNNNNNNNNNNNNNNNNNNNNNNNNNNNNNNNNNNNNNNNNNNNNNNNNNNNNNNNNNNNNNNNNNNNNNNNNNNNNNNNNNNNNNNNNNNNNNNNNNNNNNNNNNNNNNNNNNNNNNNNNNNNNNNNNNNNNNNNNNNNNNNNNNNNNNNNNNNNNNNNNNNNNNNNNNNNNNNNNNNNNNNNNNNNNNNNNNNNNNNNNNNNNNNNNNNNNNNNNNNNNNNNUCUCUCCUCCUCCACCUCCUCCCUCCUCCUCCUUCCUCCUCCUCCUUCUCCCACCUCCACCUCCCCCUUUCUGUAAAUAGAAUAGGAAGUUUUUAGAAUUUUUAGAUUUUUUAAGUAAAUGUAGGGUUUUAGUAUAUUCUGUUUUUAGAAAAUCUGAAUAAGUAAUUUGAAUAUAAUAGAAUAUGAAAUUAAUUUUUUUAGUAAAUGUAGGUCUUUGGAAUAGAAUAGGAAAUUUUUAGAAAUUUGAAUAAGUAAUUUUGAAUAGAAUAAAAUAUGAAAUUGAAAAAAUAGGUAAAUGUAGAUCUUUUGAAUAGACUAGGGAAUUUUUAGAAAAUUUGAAUAUGUAAAUUUGAAAAGAAUAGGAAAUUAUAAGUAAAUUUGAAUAAGAAAAUUUGAAAAGAAUAGGAAAUUAUAAGUAAAUUUGAAUAGAAUAAUUCAAUGUAGCUUAUAGAGUUUCACUAAGUCCUAAGAUGACGAUAAUAAUGUUUUUGUUUAUAUUUUGUUUUUGCAGAGAUCAAGGAGCCCCUGCAUCAUCCCCGCCGCCGUCCCCGUCACCGACCCCCUCCGACCUCGAUCGAGGUGAGACCAGCAACCCCAUGUUGUUAAUUUAAUUUAGGUAUUUUAGGUGUUUAAUCUUAGAAUAACAUAGUAUGAACCCUAGUUAUGAUCGAAGCAUGUUUAAAAUGUAGGUUUUUAAUUAGGUAUAGUUAAUAGAAUUUAGGUGUAUAUCUUGAAUGCUUAUUGAAUGCUCAUAUGAUGUAGAUAUAAACAUGUAUAUCUUGUGUUGCUAAAAUAGUAUGUGCUUGCCCAAGUGGCCGGCCAUGUUUGCAGGUUACACCUCCUAUAGUGGCCUAUGUUUUGCCGGAGUGUUGAUUAAUUUCCGUUCCGGAAAAUUUCAGGCGCUCGAUAUGUCCUUUUUUAGCAAAGGUCAUGCCGGAUUUUUCCGUGAAUUCUGGCAUGACUUGUGCUAGAAUAUGUAGGAAAUAUCGAGUGGCCUGGAUUUUCUCGAAAAAUAAUUAAACGACAUUUCGGGUUGACUUUAAGUCUGUCGAGGCUCCAUCACCGAAGGUCGAAAAAUCAGUGAGGGAGUAUAUCCACCAUAUAUGAGAGAGGACAAAGAAGCCCUACUGUUGUCGUGGGGGUCAUUUCUCCUUCUUUUCCUUGUGCUAGACCUUUGUUAUGCACUAGGGAAAUGAGGAGUAACGACCAUCACCGACGAUCGCAAAUGUCAGGGAGGAAUCAGUGAGGGAGAGUCUCCACCAUAUAGACUCGGCAAACCGAUAGUCAACCCAUGAUGAAUAAUAAUGAUCUAAUUUAUUUUUUAUAGUACAUAUAUUGAAUUGUACAAGUUUAGUCUUUGAAUUAUGAAUGUAGGAAAUGUCGUCAUCGGGCGAUGAAAGUCUCCUGGGGGAGUGUAGCUGGUGCAACGACGACCGAGGUCUAUGCGACAGGCCUCACCUGGACGAAGAUUGGCGCUUCAGCAUUAAGCUCCAGGAGACCUUCGAUGUUGAAAUGGUACACAAAGACGAAAAGUGUUUUUCAUAAUUAAGCAUGACUUCAACUAUUUCAACGUGUAAUUUUCAUCUUUUACAAUUUGAGUAGCUUAUCCCAUGCCAUGCAAGAUGCUAUGUCUUGGAGAGGAUGGGUUUUGAAGACCAUGAAAAUUUCGAAACAAAGAAAGUUCACCUAAGGACCCAUCAUAUGUGGAUUUUGAAGUAAAUCUGUAUAAUUCUGAGAGAGUAACCCAUUUUGGUUGCAAAAUUUGGGAAUCACUUUGCAAGAUGUAUGGUUUUUAUGAGGGUAUGCUUGUCACUAUGGAUCUUGAUGAUCCUAACAUCGACCAAGACAAUAUGGACAUUUGGGUCCUUGUUGAUACGCUUCCAAUUCUACCACUAUGUGAGUUUCUCAAACAUAGUUAUUAACUAAUUUAUAUUGUUUAUUUCAAAAUAGUUGACAACUUAUUUCCAUUGACAGCUUAUUUUCAUUGUUUAAACAAUGUGCGGAACAUGGUAGACAGAACCUACUACACCGAUGGCUCUGAGUUAACUUAUCAGGAGAAAAAUCAUCUGGUCGCAUUUUGUACUGAUCUUGAGAAUUACAAUAUCUAUUAUAAAACUCCUCCACAUUAUGGUCAAUACAUGCCACUAGUGCACGUGUUGAAAUACGGUAACAUCCAUGGAGAUGUCAUGGCAAGAUUUUUUAGUAUUGAGGCAUCCGUGCAUCUUUUGCAUAAAUUCUUUUAAAACUUAACUACAUUGCUAACUACGAGGUUAUUACUAUGAGUGUGCCUCAUCUAAUGUAUCAGAAUGGUCGCCUUGAUGUUUUGAACAUAUGGCCAGGUCAUCAUACGAAUUCACCUGUCCAUAUUGGAUUUCUAAAAGAAGUGGAGACAUGAAAAAUCAAAAAAUGGAAAAAAUGUAUGGACAGUCGUAAGGAGGUACUUGGUUGCAACAUUAUGCGAAAGGCAAGAAUUGAAGACAGGAUAAUCUCCAUUCCCCAUAAUGGAGAGUCAGGGCCUAUCUUGUUUUAUGCUAUUUUACCUAAGAGAAGGUAGUAGGUCCUAGUUAAUAAUACUCAUGAUCAUGUGCUAAGAACAACUAAGUAGGAUUGGUUAGAUGACUAUGAUGAUGAUGUGGUAUCGAGUAGAAGUUGUAUGAUCGGUGAUGAUGAGUAUGACUUGUUAUUAUGAUACCAAUGAUGAGUUAUUUAUUAUUAUGAUCGAUGAUGCAUGAUGCUAAGUUGUUAUAUGAGCAUGAUUACUUAUUAUAUAUAACAGUGGGUGAAAUGAACCUGGAUUAGAUUCAAGUGAAGCCAACAUGUGGUGCACAUCGAAAGUACUACUAAUCCAAACUAGAUCAAGUUUGGAUUAGAGUAGUACUUUCGACAUGCACCACAUGUUGCCUCCACUUGAAUCUACUCCACGUUCAUUCCACCCACUGUUAUAUAUAAUAAGUAAUCAUGGUCAUAAAAUCAUAUGAUGAAAGUACUGUAUAUAAAACCACACAAUGAAAAUAAGCUACAUUUUUAAAAAUACAGCAAAAUUUAGCAGCGGCGCUUUUUAGAACAAGCGCUACUCCUACUUACAAGUAGCAGCAACGCUUUUUAGAACAAGUGCUACUCCUACUUACAAGUAGCAGCAGCGCUUUUUAGAACAAGCGCUACUGCUACUAGUUAGGUGUAGCGCCUUAGUGGUAGCGCUGGACCCAGCGCUACUGCUAUGCAUAUUUCAAGCGUUACUAUUAGGGUUUUCCCUAGUAGUGCUUAUAAACAAGGGAGUGAGAGGAGUGCGUCUCCCCGAACAACCUAUGACACGACACCCCACCUCCACCACUCUAGCCCGGGGUUUUAGAAACUAGGGCACCUCCAGCUCCUUUGACCGUUAUUUGGAUUUUCUAGCAGAAAGAGCAUGGUGCCUCCAUGUUUGGUUUUGGUAAUUGAUGACAAUCCUUAUGGAAUAAUGAUUGCUUUGAGUUAUACUUUAAGGUUUGUCCAUAGGCAAUGUUUGAAGACCAUAUGUUGGUUUCAAGGUUGAAAGAAGAAGAUUAUGCAUUGACCAAGGUGUUAUUCAUGGAGUUGUCCAAAGAUUGGUCAUGUGAGAGUUGAGCCUAUCACAAGCAUGUCUUGAAGAACAAGAUUGUGUGAACAUUCAUGUUUACCUUCAAGACACCUGAUACGUCUCCAACGUAUCUAUAAUUUUUGAUUGUUCCAUGCUAUUAUAUUAUCCAUCUUGGAUGUUUUAUAUGCAUUUAUAUGCUAUUUUAUAUUAUUUUCGGGACUAACCUAUUAACCUAGAGCCCAGUGUCAGUUUAUGUUUUUUCUUGUUUUUGAGUUUUGCAGAAAAGGAAUAUCAAAUGGAGUCCAAAUGAGCUGAAAAUUUACGGCGAUUUUUAUGGACCAGAAGAAGCCCCCGAAGCACAAGAGUUGGGCCAGAAGAGUCUUGAGUCAACGACAAGGGUGGAGGGCAUGCCCCCUACAUUGUCGCUGCCUCGUGGACCCCCUGACUUGAAACCGAUGCCAAAAAUUCCUAUAAAUCCAGAAACCCCUAGAAACAAACCUAGAUCGGGAGUUCCGCCGCAAGCCUCUAUAGCCACGAAAAACCAACCGGGAGCCCAUUCCGGCACCCUGCAAGAGGGGGAAACCAUCACCAGUAGCCAUCUUCAUCAUCCCGGCGGUCUCCAUGACAAGGAGGGAGUAGUUCAUCCUCGGGGCUGAGGGUAUGUACCAGUAGCUAUGUGUUUUAUCUUUCACUCUCUCACUCUCUCUCGUGUUCUUGAUUUGGCACGAUCUUGAUGUACCGCGAGCUUUGUUAUUAUAGUUGGAUCAUAUGGUGUCUCCCCCUCCAUGUUCUUGUGAUGAAUUAAGUUUUACCUUUGAGGUUUCACUAUUAUCGGAUUGAAUACUAUUAUGGAUUUGAGAACACUUGGUAUGUCUUGCGUGGGAUACCCGUGGUGACAAUGGGGUGUUCUAUUGAUCCACUUGAUGUAUGUUUUGGCACUCAACUCGCGGAUUCCCAAGGUGACAUUGGGGUAAUCCAUGCAUAGGGGUUGAUGCAUGUUUUCGACCUUGUUUCUCCGGUAGAAAUCUUGGGGCACUCUUUGAGGUUCUUUGUGUUGGACUGAAAUAUUAUGAUUCUAAAGUUGUUUGAUGCAUAUUGUAUAAUUGACCCAUGGAUACUUGUGGUGACAUUGGAGUAUCUAGGUGACAUUAGGGUUGAUUGAUGUGUGUCAUAUGGUGUUAUUUUACUACUAACUCUAGGGCUGUUUGUGACACUUAUAGGAAUAACUCAAUGGAUUGAUCAGAAAGAAUAACUUUGAGGUGGUUUCAUACCCUACAAGCAAUUUCAUCUUAUGUUCUCUGCGAUAGGAACUUUGGAGUGAAUUUUGUCGCACAUUGAGGGAUUGCCAUAUGAUCUAAUUAUGUUAUCAUUGUUGAGAGAACUUGCACUAGUGAAAGUAUGAACCCUAGGCCUUGUUUUCAAGCAUUGCAAUACCUUUUUCGCUCACUUUUGUUACUAGUUACCUUGCUGUUUUUAUAUUUUCAGAUUACAAAAACCUAUAUCUACUAUCCAUAUUACACUUGUAUCACCAUCUCUUCGCCGAACUAGUGCACCUAUACAAUUUACCAUUGUAUUGGGUGUGUUGGGACACAAGAGACUCAUUGUUAUUUGGUUGCAGGGUUGUUUGAGAGAGACCAUCUUCAUCCUACGCCUCCCACAGAUUGAUAAACCUUAGGUCAUCCACUUGAGGGAAAUUUGCUACUGUCCUACAAACUCUACGCUUGGAGGCCCAACACGAGUCUACAAGAAGAAGGUUGCGUAAUAGACAUCAAGCUCUUUUCUGGCGCUAUUGCGGGGAUGUGAGGGCUUGAAGGUAUAUCUUUAGAUCUUGCAACUGAAUCUUUUAGUUUCUUGUUUUCUCACUAGUUUAGUUUAUAAAAGAAAACUACAAAAAAUGAAAUUGAGGCUGCCUCAUAUGCUUCAUCUUUUUAAUGUCUUUCGUGAAAAUGAUGGAAAGGAAAAUUGUGCUCAAGUGUUAGAGGAAGAAGUCAGUAAAAUGUUUGGCACUAAAUAUUUGAAUGAUGAGCAUGAUUGCAAUGUUGUUAGUAUGAAUUCUUUGAAUAUCCAUACUACUAAUGAUGAUUGCACUAGUCAUGAUAAAAAUGUUUCUUAUAAGCAUGUCAAUUUUUGUGGAGUGCAUAGAGUUUGCAAUUACAUACCAAAAAGGGAAGAUAGAUUUUGCAAGAGGCAUAAGUAUUUAGAAACUAAAUGUUUGCAAGAGAGGCUAGAUGUUUGUGCUAAAAGAUUUAAUUUUUCUCGCAGUCCUUGUGAACUUUGCAAUGAAUGUGGCCAUUUAAAUAUCCAAUGCAAAUUGGUUCUUGAUCGAAUCAUGUCCAAAAAUUGUGAUGACUUUAUUUCCCUUGCGCAUCAUAAUGAACUUAGUUUGCUUUGGUAUAUGAAGAAAUGAAACAUAUAACUAGGGAUAUUCCAGAAUAUAACCUUAAGAGAUUUCUUGAUUUUGAUCUAGAGGAAAUUUAUAUGUAUUGUGUGGUAAAUUGCAUUGAGAAUCCUUAUAUUGACAAUUACUUAAAGACAAGAAAACAAAUAGAAGAUGAAGAGAAUAUUAAUGAAGGGGAAGAGGUUUCCCAAUAUCCUCCUAUUUUUUCUUAUGAUGAAUCAGGUAACGAGGAGGAGUGUUUUAUUCAACAAAUCUCAUCAAUAAGGAGCUCCAAAAAGGUGAUUAAACCCACACAUGAUGUGGAGAAGAAAAAGAAAAGAUGGAGAAGCAAAGGUAAAACGGUAUCCCCCCCCCCCAAAUGAUGUUGCUCCUAUUAUUGUUAUGCCUAUUACUCUUUGUGAUGAUUAUGAUUGGGAUAGUAAUGAUACUUGUUAUAAUAUUGAGAAUAUAUUUGGCACCAACUUAGAAAAUUGUGAUGAUAAUAAUUGAUAUACUAUUGGUGUUAUUCAUACUAUUAAUGAUGAGAGUGAUUAUGCUUAUGAUAUGCAAAACCACAAGCUUGGGGAUGUUAUGUUUGAUGAGAAUGACAUGUUCGAAAAUUUAUUUGCUGCAAUUAAUGUUUGUCCCAAGCUUGGGGAUGUUAUGCUUAAUGAAGAUGAUAUUUUUAGCCCCCCCCCCCAAGUUUUGAUGUGCAAAUUUAUUAUGAUGAUAGCAUGCCUCCUAUUUAUGAUGAUUGCAAUAUUUAUGAAAGUGGGUUUGGAAGAGUCUCAACUUUAGAUAAUAAUCAUCUCACUAUUUUGGAGGGUGUUGAAUCUUAUUAUAAUGAUAAAAGUGGAUUUGGAGAGGUCAUGACUUUAUUUAGUAAUGAUUCCACUAUUUUGGAAGAGGUUUCAAUUGAUUAUGAUGAGAACGAAGUUGCUACUUAUGAUGAUUAUUGUGAUGACACUUAUGUUAUAAAAAGUAGUGAUGAUUAUACUUAUAAAACUUGUCAUGAUUAUGAUUACCCUUUUUCUGAAUAUUACUCUUCUAAUGUGGAAACAAUUUAUAGUAUUCAAGUUUCUUAUGAUACUCUCACUAUUCCGAAUGAGAAGAAUUUUGCUUUUGUGGAGAGUAGUAAAUUUUCUAUGGUUGUGGAUCAUGAAAAUAAUGCUUUAUGUGAUGGUUAUAUUGUUGAAUUCAUUCAUGGUGCUAGUGAAAAUUAUUAUGAGAGAGGGAUAUAUGCUUUUACUUAUUGCAAUAAUAUCAAGUUUCCUCUCUUUGUGUUGAAAGUUUUGAAGUUGCACUUGUUUUGCAUAGGUGAUUCUUGUUCCCAUGAAUUGUUUGCUCACAAAAUACCUAUGCAUAGGAAGUGGGUUAGACUUAAAUGUGAUAGUAAUAUGCUUCAUGAUGCUCCCAUUAUGUUUCAAUCCUUAUCUUUUAUGUGAGCAUCAUUGAAAUCAUCAUGCCUAGCUAGAAAGGCAUUAAAGAAAAGCGCUUGUUGGGAGACAACCCAAUAUUUACCCCUACUGUUUUGGUGUGUUCACAUGAUUAUGCUGCUGUAGUAAUCAUGUAUUGUAGCUUUUGUUUCAAUAAAGUGCCAAGUAAGACCUUUGAGAUGGUGUAUGGUGAUAGUUGAUUUGAUCUUGCUGAAAAACAAAAACUUUUGCGCCUAGUAAAAUAAAUUUUCAUUUUCUACAGGAAAGUGCUAAAAUACUGAUUAUUUAUAUACAAAUUUCCUAGAUUGUCCUAAUUUUUUAGAAUUUUUGGAGUUACAGAAGUAUGCAAAGUUUCCAGAUUACUACAAACUGUUCUAUUUUUGACAGAUUCUGUUUUUCAUGUGUUGCUUGCUUAUUUUGAUGAAUCUAUGAGUAGUAUCAGAGGUAUGAACCAUGGAGAAGUUGUAAUACAAUAGAUAUAACACCAAUACGAAUUAAAAUAAGUUCACAAUAGUACCUAAGUGGUGAUCUGCUUUAUUAUACUAACGGAGCUUAUGAGUUUUCUGUUGAGUUUUGUGUUGUGAAGUUUUCAAGUUUUGGGUAAAGUUUUGAUGGACUACAGAAUAAGGAGUGGCAAGAGCCUAAGCUUGGGGAUGCCCAAGGCACCCCAAGGUAAUAUUCAAGGACAACCAAGAUCCUAAGCUUGGGGAUGCCUCAGAUGGCAUCCCCUCUUUCGUCUUCGUUCAUCGGUAACCUUACUUGGAGCUAUAUUUUUAUUCACCACAUGAUAUGUGUUUUGCUUGGAGAGUCAUUUUAUUUUAUUAGGAUUUGCUUUCUGCUUGAAUAAUAUCCCAAGAUCUGAAUUUUUUUAAUGUUAGAGAGUCUUCACGUAGUUACAUAAUUAUCCGACUACUCAUUGUUCUUCACUUAUAUCUUUCGGAUAGUUUUUCAUUUGCUCUAGUGCUUCACUUUACCUUUUUAGAGCACGGCAGUGGUUUUUAUUUUGAAGAAAUUGAUGUACUCUCAUGAUUCACUUAUAUUAUUUUGAGAGCCUUUAAAGAGCAUGGUAAUUUGCUUUGGUUAGGAAUUUAGUCCUAAUAUGAUAGGCAUCCAAGAAGGAUAUAAUAAAAACUUUCAUAUAAAGUGCAUUGAAUACCAGGAGAAGUUUGCUUCCUUAUGAUUGUUUUGAGAUAUGAGGAUGGUGAUAUUAGAGUCAUGCGAGUGAGUAAUUGUGGAUUGUAGAAAUACUUGUGUUAAAGUUUGUGAUUCCCGUAGCAUGCACGUAUGGUGAACCGUUAUGUAACGAAGUUGGAGCAUGAGGUAUUUAUUGAUUGUCUUCCUUAUGAGUGGCAGUCAGGGACGAGCGAUGGUCUUUUCUUACCAAUCUAUCCCCCUAGGAGCAUGCAUGCAGUACUUUUUUCGAUGACUAAUAGAUUUUUGCAAUAAGUAUGUGAGUUCUUUAUGACUAAUGUUGAGUACAUGGAUUAUACGCACUCUCACCCUUCCACCAUUGCUAGCCUCUCUAGUGCCGCACAACUUUAGCCGGUACCAUACACCCACCAUAUACCUUCCUCAAAACAGCCACCAUACCUACCUAUUAUGGCAUUUUCAUAGCCAUUCUGAGAUAUAUUGCCACACAACUUCCACCGUUCCUUUUUAUUAUGACAUGCUCCAUCAUUGUCAUAUUGCUUUGCACGAUCAUGUAGUUGACAUAGUAUUUGUGGCAAAGCCACCAUUCAUAAAAUUCAUACAUGUCACUCUUGAGUCAUUGCACAUCCCGGUACACUGUCGGAGGCAUUCAUAUAGAGUCAUAUUUUGUUCUAAGUAUCGAGUUGUAAUUCUUAAGUUUUAAGUAAAUAAAAGUGUGAUGAUCUUCAUUAUUAGAGCAUUGUCCCAUGUGAGGAAAGGAUGAUGGAGAUUAUGAGGAAAAAUAAAAGAGGCCAAAGAAGCCAACAAAAAAAGAGAGGCUAAAGAAGCAAAAAAAGAGAGAAAAGAGAGAAGGGGCAAUGUUACUAUCCUUUUUCCACACUUGUGCUUCAAAGUAGCACCAUGAUCUUCAUGAUAAAGAGUCUCCUAUGUUGUCAAUUUCAUAUACUAGUGGGAAAUUUCAUUUUAGAACUUGGCUUGUAUAUUCCAACGAUGGGCUUCCUCAAAUUGCCCUAGGUCUUCGUGAGCAAGCAAGUUGGAUGCACACCCACUUAGUUUCUUUUUGAGCUUUCAUACACUUAUAGCUCUAGUGCAUACGUUGCAUGGAAAUCCCUACUCACUCACAUUGAUAUCUAUUGAUUGGCAUCUUCAUAGCCCGUUAAUACGUGUUGAUGUGAGACUAUCUCCUUCUUUUUUGUCUCCUCCACAACCACCAUAUUCUAUUCCACCUAUAGUGCUAUGUCCAUGGCUCACGCUCAUGUACUGCGUGAAAGUUGAAAAGGUUUGAUGUAACGCCCCAGAUGUAACUUACCAUAUUUGUACUCCGACUCUUGCCAUUUUCGGCUCUAAGUUAUGAGAUUCCCUCGUGGUUGGGUUUUGUCUUUUUUUUUGCAUUUUGUCCAUGUCAUGCAUUGCAUAUCAUGUCAUCAUGUGCAUCUCAUUUGCAUACGUGUUCGUCUCAUGCAUCCGAGCAUUUUCCUCGUUGUCCGUUUUGCGAUCCGACACUCCUAUGUCCUCUGGCACCCCCUUUUGUCUCUUUUCAUGAGUGGGUGUUAAACAUUCUCAGAAUGGACCGAGAUUUGCCAAGGGGCCUUGGUACACCACCGAUAGACCGCCUGUCAAGUUUCGUGCCAUUUGGAGUCUGUUUGAUACUCCAACGGUUAACCAGGGAACCGUAAAGGCCUCAUGUGUGUGUUGCAGACCAACACCUCUCGAGAGUGGCCCAAAAACCCAUCCAAACCCCCUCCAUCCUCUCGGCCGUUCGAUCAUGAUCGCGUGGCUGAAAACCGCACUCCAUUUGGACUCUCCUAGCUCCCUCUAGCUAUAAAAAUGUCUCCUCCUCCAUUCUCGGACGAAACCCUAAAAUUCCCCUCCGCUCCGCCGGACACGUCCGGGCGACGCCGACAAAGUUGCCACCGCCCCGCACCAACCCGCGUCCGCCACCUGUCGCCUCGCCGCCGCCCGCCGCNNNNNNNNNNNNNNNNNNNNNNNNNNNNNNNNNNNNNNNNNNNNNNNNNNNNNNNNNNNNNNNNNNNNNNNNNNNNNNNNNNNNNNNNNNNNNNNNNNNNNNNNNNNNNNNNNNNNNNNNNNNNNNNNNNNNNNNNNNNNNNNNNNNNNNNNNNNNNNNNNNNNNNNNNNNNNNNNNNNNNNNNNNNNNNNNNNNNNNNNNNNNNNNNNNNNNNNNNNNNNNNNNNNNNNNNNNNNNNNNNNNNNNNNNNNNNNNNNNNNNNNNNNNNNNNNNNNNNNNNNNNNNNNNNNNNNNNNNNNNNNNNNNNNNNNNNNNNNNNNNNNNNNNNNNNNNCGCCGUGCCGCGCCCGCUCCCGCGCCUCCCGGCCGGAGCCCGCUCCUCCUCGUCGCCCUCGUCGCCGGGAGCUCUCCGGCGAGCCCCCUAGCUCCGGCCACCGCCUCAUCUUCCUCUCCGGUGGGAACUCCGGUGACCUCCCCGAUGAACCUCGAACCACGCGCCAGAUCCAGAUCUGGAAAACCCUAGGUUGACCCCGUUUUCCCCUAAGUCACUAACAUUUUCAGCUCAUGUUCUUUGCAUCAUAACUCCGCAUCCGUAGCUCCGUUUUGGGCGUGCAAUACAUCAAAAUGUUCAUCUGGAUGUGCUAUUCUUUUUGUUCCAUUUUUCCAUGCUUGUUUGAGUCCAUCUUGAUGCCCAAAUAGUUGAUGCAAGAGUGCUAUAAAAUUUUAGGUGCUGAUUCUUAACAGAUCUUGAGCAUUUGUCAUUUUUGCCAUGAUUAUUGUGUGCUGCAUAUGGGCAUGAGCUCUACAUGUGUUUUGGGCUAUGCCAUGCCAUCUUUACAGGGGUGUAUGCCAUGUAUUUUGUGAUCAACAUGGUGACUAGCACAUGCAUGCAAAGUAGGUCUCGUAAUAUUGCUGAUUUCAGGGACUUAGAAUUUCACUAAGUCAUUUCCCUGCUGUUAUUUUAAUGCCAUGUAUUCAUGUUGCUUCAGUGAGAUCCAUGCUUCUUUUGAGUAUGUUCAGUAAGGAUGAUUUUGACAUAUGGUUGACUCUAUCCAUCCAUGUCCCUGUUUGCAUUUAUGAAGUGCCCUAGCAUGACUCAAUCUUGCUCUACUUUUGCUAUAAAAUGUUCCUGGCAGAUUGUUUACGUGUUAAUCAAUUUUGCCAAGGUUGUUGUAGUUGAUCCAUGCAUGCUAUAAGUUUGUUCUUGCUUUGGUUAGCUUCAUGAUCAUGUUGUCUUGCUGGUAGUAUGCUUAGCUUGUCAUGCAAUGCCUUGUGAUGAGUGCAUCGAGCUCGCAAACGUGCCUUCAUAAUUCUGUUGAUACCAUGUCCAGUUUUCUGCCAAGUCUGAAUCUGUUAACGAAACUUGCGAUGUUUACACGGGUGCCAUCAUAUCUUCUGAUCCUUUUUGGCUUAUGGUCAGCAAGGGACUUUUGUUAUAUGCUUUUAGUAGAUUCAUGUCAUGCCUUUGUUUGCUAUGUUUUGUUCCUAUAGCAUGUUGUUAUCUUGCUCUAAACAUUGCUUCCUGAUGUGAAUUCCUGACAUGUUAUUUCCACUAAGUCUGUGAAGCUGAUAUCUUUUGCACUUUUGCCAUGCUUGUUUGAACCUACUAUUGUGUGAUUUAGCCAUAGCUCAGUGUUCAUAUUUUGUCAAGCAUCUUGAGUAGAUCACUUCCAUGUGAUUUGUUGCUAUGUUGGAGUGCAGUAGCUUAGUUUAUUGUUGCAUUCUAGAUGACAUCAUGCUGUUAAUCGCAGAAGUGUGCCAUCAAUGUUUUGCUUGCCAUUUGCAAACCGUGCAUCCGAUUCCGGUGAUCUUUAUAUCGAUUUCGACCGAAAUCAACUCAUCUUCCCAGAGGUGUACUUGGUUUGCCAAGUUGAGGCCUGGUUCAAUCUUUUCCUUUCGGAGCAUGCAUAUGCAUUGCAUAUAACAUCCCACAUAUCAUGCCAUAUUUUGCAUCAUGUUGCUUGCGCAUUGCACCGUGGUUGAUUGUGGUUUCCUUUGCUUGUGUUCUUGCUUUUGGUAGAGCUGGGAGAUGAGUUCGUGAUUCAGGAACCCGAUCAGUACGCUUACGAGGAUCAGGCUUUCUUCAACCCGGAGAACUUUGCAGGCAAGAUGACCAUACCCUCGAAAUCACUUCUAUCUUUACUUGCUAGUUGCUCGCUCUUUUGCUAUGCCACGAUACCUACCACUUGCUAUAUCAUGCCUCCCAUAUUGCCAUGUCAAGCCUCUAACCCACCUUUUCCUAGCAAACCGUUGUUUGGCUAUGUUACCGCUUUGCUCAGCCCCUCUUAUAGCGUUGCUAGUUGCAGGUGAAGAUGGAGUUUUGUUCCUUGUUGGAACAUGUUUAUUAUUUGGAUAUCAUUAUUAUAUCUUGUUUACUUUAAUGCACCUAUAUACUUGGUAAAGGGUGGAAGGCUUGGCCUUAUGCCUGGUGUUUUGUUCCACUCUUGCUGCCCUAGUUUUCGUCAUACCGGUGUUAUGUUCCUUGAUUUUGCGUUCCUUAUGCAGUUGGGUUAUAAUGGGAACCCUUUGAUAGUUUGCCUUGAAUAAAACUGCUCCAGCAAGGCCGAACCUUGGUUUUACCAUUUGCCACCUAAGCCUUUUUCCCUUGGGUUUCACGGACUCAAGGGUCAUCUUUAUUUUAAACCCCCGGGCCAGUGCUCCUCUGAGUGUUGGUCCAAACUAGAGCACCGUGCAGGGCCGUCCCUUGGCAACUUGGGUUACGUUGGCUCCUGUACACUUAGCUUAUUCGAUGUGCCCUGAGAACGAGAUAUGUGCAGCUCCUAUUGGGAUUUGUCGGCACAGCGGGUGGUCUUGCUGGUCUUGUUUUACCAUUGUCGAAAUGUCUUGUAACCGGGAUUCCGAGUCUGAUCGGGUCUUCCUGGGAGAAGGGAUAUCCUUCGUUGACCGUGAGAGCUUGUGAUGGGCUAAGUUGGGACACCCCUGUAGGGUUUUGAACUUUCAAAAGCCGUGCCCGCGGUUAUGGGCAGAUGAGAAUUUGUUAAUGUCCGGUUGUAGAGAACUUGAAACUUAACUUAACUGAAAUGAAUCAACCAUGUGUGUAGCCGUGAUGGUCUCUUUUCGGCGAAGUCUGGGAAGAGAACACGGUUUCGUGUUAUGCUUGAAUGUAAGUAGUUUCAGGAUCAUUUCUUGAUCUUAUAGCUUCUCGACCAUGCUUUGCUUGUCUUCUCGCUCUCAUUUUCGUAAGUUAGCCACCAUAUAUGUUAGUGCUUGCUGCAGCUCCACCUCACUACCUUUUCCGACCCAUAAGCUUAAAUAGUCUUGAUCGCGAGGGUGUGAGAUUGCUGAGUCCCCGUGACUCACAGAUUACUUCCAAAACCAGAUGCAGGUGCCGAUGAUGCCAGUGCACGGGACGCGACCGAACUCAAGUGGGAGUUCGAUGAGGAUUCAGGACGUUACUAUGUUUCCUUUCCGGACGAUCAAUAGUGGAGCCCAGUUGGGGUGAUUGGGGAUCUAUGCAUUUGGGGUUGUCUUUAUUUUGGUUCCGUAGUCGGACCUUCAUUGUAUCUGGAUGUUGUAAUGCUAUAUUUAUGUAUUGUGUAAAGUGGCGAUUGUAAGCCAACUCUUUAUCCCUUUCUUAUUCAGUACAUGGGAUGUGUAAAGAUUACCCCUCUUGUGACAUGCCUACUAUGCGGUUAUGCCUCUAAGUCGUGCUCCGACACGUGGGAGAUAUAGCCGCAUCGUGGGUGUUACAAGUUGGUAAUCAGAGCCUUCCCCGACUUAGGAGCCCCCUGCUUGAUCGAAUCAUUGACGUUGUUGAGUCUAGAAAAAUGUUUUGAGUCUUAUAGGUUUAUAUGUAUAUAUAUAUAUAUAUAUCGGAGAGUAGGAUUCUUUUUACUCCUCAAUCCCUUCGUCGCUCUGGUGAGGCCUCCUGACAUAGAGUUUUGACUCUUCUCUCCUCAAAUUUCACGAAUUUUUUAGGAUCACGCGGGUAUCUUGGAAUCUUUUCGAUGGUUUUGUGACGAGAACAUUGUUCUUGGUGCCUCCUGACAUUUAGGGGUUGUGGCAGUGUCCCGGGGAGUGGAGCUCCGAGGUGUUGUCGUCACAAUUUUAUCGUUGCAGUUCUAGAAUACCUGAGUUUGCCGACAUCGAAAAUCUCCUUUAUGCAGUUGUUGGUGAGAUAACCUCGACGCCACCUAGUACUGGGGUGGGAGUUCGGGAGUAUUGCCAUAACUCGUAUAAGGGAUGCUUUUCGAAGGUUGAGGUAAAUGAUUUCCGAAGGUUUCUUGGUUAUGUGUUGAAGGAUGGAUACAACUGGAUGUAGGAUUUGCUAGUUUUGGGUGAGAUAUUAUGCUUCCCCUGUAUCCCCAACACCUCAUUGCAUAACCAGAAAGUUUUGGGAGUUUCAUAGGUGGGAAUUCAUGUAGCUCUAGUAUUUCUUCCCGCAGAUAUUUGGUUCGUGAUUGGGUAAUCCUUACCAAUUAUUUGUUCUUAUCCGUACCUUGUUGAUUUUAUUCUUCUAUCUCUAUUUAAGUGGCUUCUCAACUUAUGGAAGUGUGAUGAUUUACUUUGGAAUUCAUUCGUUCAUUCUUGUUUGAAUGUUAAGGCUAUAUGUUGCAAUUUUGAUCCAUUGAUUCAUCUUGAAUAAAUGUCUUUCAAGAUGCUAACGGAUGUCACCCUCUUCAAGAUGGCUCCUCCAAUGCGUCAGAAUCCGGAACCUCCACCACCACCUCCACCACCGGAGGCAUGACAUGCUGUCAUGGCCGCUACCAACGCCAACACGCAUAUGCUUAUGCAACUCUGGCAAGAGCGUAACCGAGGAAAUCAAGGCCAAGGCAACAAAUCAAGCUCAGUUUGCUACCCUCAAUCAGUUCCUCGCAAACCAGCCAAAGUCCUUCAGUGACUGUGUUGAGGCCACAGACGCUGACGAUUGACUCGUGGAUAUCUGCAAACAUUUUGAGUGUAGCAAUGUCAGGCCCGAGGACUUUGUCAAGUUUGCUUCGUUCCAACUCAAAGACCAAGCUGCUGAGUGGUAUCAACAAUACAAAGAUUCCAGAGGAGGUCGUGUGAUUACCUGGGAUGAUUUCCGCCGGGACUUCAAAGCUCACCGCAUUCCUCAAAGUGUUGCUGAGAGUAAGCGUGAGGAGUUCCACAAUCUGAAGCAAGGCAGUAUGUCUGUUUACCAAUACAACAUCCUAUUUCAGAGGCUCGCUCGCUUCGCUAAACAAGACGUCCCUGACGAGAAGAGCAUGAUUUAUCAAUUUAGAGGUGGCCCCAGAGAAGAUCUGCAACUAGCUCUUGUGCUUUUUGAGCCGAAAGAGUAUGACGAAUUCUACAACAUGGCACUAAAGCAAGAAGCUACUCAGCUCAAGUGCAAUGCUUCUAAGAAGAGAGUCAGGGAUGCAACUCAAUCGUCUUCUUCAUCUCAAGUGGCAGCUAAGAAGCAAAAGUUCUGGUUGCCUCCUCCUCCUUCGUCCCGUCAGCCUUAUCAGCAGAAGGGUAAAGGUGGCAAUGGAUCUUCCCACCCACCCAACCCAGGCUUUCAUAACAAAGCUUCGUCUCAUGCUCCAAGGUCAAGUGCUCCAUAUCACCGUCCGCUCUCAGAGGUUACUUGCAACAAGUGUCAGCAAAAAGGACACUAUGCAAACAAAUGCUUCAACCAGAGGCGCCUUUCGCCUCCUCCUCCCGUGAGAUCUGCCAGCAAUGCAGUGGUCAAGCAUAAUCCCAAGUUUGCAAAGGUCAAUAUGAUGAACGCAGCUCAGGCAGAGGACUCUUCAGAAGUGAUCAUGGGUAACUUUCCAGUUAACUCUACUCCUGCAAAAGUCCUUUUUGAUACUGGUGCAUCGCAUUGUUUCAUGUCAAGAUCAUUUGUUUCAAAGCAUGACUUCGUUUCGGAAAUAUUGGGUAAACCCAUGGGAGUGGUUUCUCCGGCCAAGUCUAUGAGGGCUACCACGUUGAUCCCGAAUGUUUCUAUCGAGAUGGGUGAUUACAGAUUUCUGUCUUCUCCAAUGGUUCUUGGUGACUCGGAUAUUGAUCUAAUUCUCGGCAUGGACUGGCUUUCUAAGCACAAGGCUCAGCUUGAUUGUGCUGCCAGGCAGAUUCAAUUGACACACUCGUCUAUCAUCUAUGCCGCUCGUGAUGAUACCAUUCGACUGUUUUCUCUCAAUGAGAAGGGCGAGUUGAAUGCCAUCUCUUAGAUUCCAGUCGUUUGUGAAUAUCAAGACGUCUUUCCAGAAGAGCUUCCAGGAAUGCCUCCUCACCGGCCAGUUGAAUUCGUCAUUGAUCUUGAGCCUGGCACGGAACCUGUUUGCAAACGUCCUUACAAGCUUGGACCAGAAGAGUUGAAGGAGCUGAAGAAACAACUCAAUGUACAAGAGCGUAUGGGUCUGAUCCGACCGAGUUCUUCUCCAUGGCGUUGUGGUGUUCUUUUUGUCAAGAAGAAGGAUGGCACGGACCGACUUUGUGUCGACUACCGCCCAUUGAACAAGAAGACAAUAAAGAACAAGUAUCCACUUCCCAACAUCAAUGAGCUAUUCGAACAACUCAAAGGUGCUCAAGUAUUCUCCAAGCUUGACCUCCGUAUGGGCUAUCAUCAUAUUCGCAUUCGUGAACAAGAUAUCCCCAAGACAACAUUCAUAACAAGCUAUGGUUCUUAUGAAUAUACUAUCAUGUCUUUCGGCCUUGUCAACGCUCCUCCAACAUUCUCUCGCAUGAUGAACUUCAUCUUCAACCCCUACACAAAUGAUUUUGUCUUGGUGUAUCUCGAUGAUGAUUUGGUCUUUUCCAAGAACAAGGAGGAUCAUGCCAAGAAUUUGAGAUUGGUGUUGGACAAACUCAGAGAACAUCAGUUCUAUGUUAAGUUUUCAAAGUGCGAGUUUUGGCUCGAUGAGGUUCUCUACCUUGGGCAUAUCAUCUCCGCCAAGGGCAUAGCUGUUAAUCCUGAGAAGGUGUCUGCAAUUGUGAAUUGGUAACCACCUCAGAAUGUCAAGCAGCUCCGCAUCUUUCUUGGGCUUGCAAGCUAUUGUCGAAGAUUCGUUGAGAAUUUCUCUAAGAUUGCAAAGCCUCUUUCCAACCUCCUCCAGAAGCAUGUGAAGUAUGUAUGGAUGCCUGAAUGUGACAUCGCUUUCAACACCCUGAAAGAGAAGCUAGUCACAGCUCCAGUUCUGACUCCUCCUGAUGAAUCCAAACCAUUCGAGGUUUUCUGUGAUGCUUCCCUGCAAGGUCUCAGUGCUGUGUUAAUGCAAGAGAAGAAAGUUGUGGCCUAUACCUCUCGCCAGUUGAAGCCCAACGAAAGGAACUACCCCACUUACGACCUCGAGUUGGCGGCAGUUGUCCAUGCUCUUUUAACAUGGAGACAUCUCUUGUUGGGAAGGAAAGUGGACAUCUUCACUGAUCAUAAGAGCCUCAAGUACAUCUUCACUCAACCCAACCUCAACAUCAGACAGACUUGUUGGGUCGAAAUGAUUCAAGAGUAUAAUCCGAGUAUUGAAUAUACUCCAGGCAAGGCCAAUGUCAUUGCCGACGCUUUGAGUAGGAAGGCUUACUGCAACAGUUUGAUUCUCAAGCCCUUCCAACCGGAUCUUUGUGAAGCUUUCCGCAAACUUAAUCUCCAAGUUGUUCCUCAAGGAUUUCUUGCCAACCUCCAAGUCUCUCCUACUUUGGAAGAUCAGAUUCGUGAGGCACAACUUCUUGAUGCAAUGGUGAAGAAGGUGAAAAAUGGGAUUGCCAAGAGCCAACCCAAGUACAAGUGCUAUCGCCUUGAUGACAAAGAUACUCUUUUCUUUGAGGAUCGAAUUGUUGUUCCUAAAGGUGACCUUCGUAAAGUCAUUAUGAACGAGGCUCACAAUUCCCUCCUAUCCAUUCAUCCUGGAAGUACAAAGAUGUACCAUGACCUCAAGCAGUCAUAUUGGUGGACUCGAAUGAAGCGAGAAAUUGCUCAGUUCGUGAAUGAAUGUGAUGUCUGCAGAAGAGUGAAGGCAGAACACCAACGGCCAGCUGGUCUCCUCCAACCUCUUGCCAUUCCAGAAUGGAAGUUUGACCAUAUUGAGAUGGACUUCGUGACUAGAUUUCCCAAGUCCAAACAUGGAAAUGAUGCUAUCUUUGUUGUCAUCAACAAGCUUACUAAAGUGGCUCAUUUUCUUCCUAUCAAAGAAUCUAUCACAGUAGCUCAGUUGGCAGAGCUAUAUACCUCCAGGAUUGUCUCUUUGCAUGGCAUUCCGGAGUUGAUAUCUUCAGAUUGUGGAAGCAUCUUUACUUCUAAGUUCUGGGACUCCUUUCAGAAGGCCAUGGGCACCAACAUUCCCUUCAGCACAGCCUUCCAUCCUCAAACUAGUGGACAAGUCGAGCGAGUCAAUCAAAUUCUUGAAGAUAUGCUCAGGGCUUGUGUCAUUUCUUUCGGUACGAAGUGGGAAGAUUGUCUUCCAUAUGCCGAGUUCUCCUACAACAACAGCUUCCAAGCGACUUCAGGCAAGGCCCCAUUCGAGAUUCUCUAUGGCAGCAAGUGCCGUACUCCUCUUAAUUGGUCAGAGACUGGUGAACGCCAACUUCUUGGCAAUGACUUAAUCACAGAAGCUGAAGAAAUGUGCAAAGUCAUUCAUGAAAAUCUCAAAGCCGCGCAAUCGCGCCAGAAGAGUUACUAUGAUAGCAAGCAUCGUGACUUGGCUUUCGAGAUAGGAGACCAUAUCUACCUCCGUGUAUCUCCAAUGAAAGGUACUCGUCGCUUCGGUAUCAAAGGGAAGCUUGCCCCUAGAUACGUGGGUCCUUUCAAGAUCAUUGCAAAAGAGGCGAUCUCGCCUAUCAACUUGAACUUCCGUCCAACUUUGCAAACGUGCAUGACGUGUUUCACGUGUCUCAGCUUCGCAAGUGUUUCAAGACUCCUGACCGCACCAUCAACUUCGAAGAGAUUGAUCUCCAAGAAGACCUGUCUUAUCAUGAGCAUCCCGUCGCUAUUCUUGAAGAAACUGAGCGCAAGACUCGCAACAAGUCUAUCAAAUUCCUGAAAGUGAAGUGGUCACAUCAUUCCGACUGAGAAUCCACCUGGGAACGCGAGGACCACCUUCGUUUCGAAUAUCCUGAGUUCUUUCAGUCCUAGAUCUUGGGACAAGAUCCUUUCGUAGUGGUGGAGUGUUGUAACGCCCCGGAUGUAACUUACCAUAUUUGUACUCCGACUCUUGCCAUUUUCGGCUCUAAGUUAUGAGAUUCCCUCGUGGUUGGGUUUUGUAUUCAUUUUGCAUUUUGUCCAUGUCAUGCAUUUCAUAUCAUGUCAUCAUGUGCAUCUCAUUUGCAUGCGUGUUUGUCUCAUGCAUCCGAGCAUUUUCCUCGUUGUCCGUUUUGCGAUCUGACACUCCUAUGUCCCGCGGUGCCCCCUUUUGUCUCUUUUCGUGAGCGGGUGUUAAACAUUCUCGGAAUGUACCGAGAUUUUCCAAGCGUCCUUGGUACACCACCUGUAGACCUCCUGUCAAGUUUCAUGCCAUUUGGAGUCCGUUUGAUACUCCAACGGUUAACUGGGGAACCGUAAAGGCCUCGUGUGUGUGUUGCAGCCCAGCACCCCUCCAAAGUGGCCCAAUAACCCAUUCAAACCCCCUCCAUCCUCUCGGCCGUCCGAUCAUGAUCGCGUGGCUGAAAACCGCACUCCAUUUGGACUCUCCUAGCUCCCUCUAGCUAUAAAAACGUUUCCUCCUCCUCCAUCCCCGGACGAAACCCUAAAAUUCCCCUCCGUGCCGCCGGACACGUCCGGGCGAUGCCGGACAAAGUCGCCACCGCCCCGCACCAACCCACGUCCGCCACCUAUCACCUCGCUGCCGCCUGCUGCCACCGGCCUACGGGGCCCACAUCCAGCCCGCUCGGCCCGCGCGCGCCGCGCCUCCCCGCGGCCCGGGCCCGAGAGCCCCGCCGCCGCCUCGCUUCCCCGNNNNNNNNNNNNNNNNNNNNNNNNNNNNNNNNNNNNNNNNNNNNNNNNNNNNNNNNNNNNNNNNNNNNNNNNNNNNNNNNNNNNNNNNNNNNNNNNNNNNNNNNNNNNNNNNNNNNNNNNNNNNNNNNNNNNNNNNNNNNNNNNNNNNNNNNNNNNNNNNNNNNNNNNNNNNNNNNNNNNNNNNNNNNNNNNNNNNNNNNNNNNNNNNNNNNNNNNNNNNNNNNNNNNNNNNNNNNNNNNNNNNNNNNNNNNNNNNNNNNNNNNNNNNNNNNNNNNNNNNNNNNNNNNNNNNNNNNNNNNNNNNNNNNNNNNNNNNNNNNNNNNNNNNNNNNNNNNNNNNNNNNNNNNNNNNNNNNNNNNNNNNNNNNNNNNNNNNNNNNNNNNNNNNNNNNNNNNNNNNNNNNNNNNNNNNNNNGCUUCCCCGCGUUCACCGGCCGCCGCCUCCCGCGCCCUGCCUGCGCCCCGCCGCCACCGAGCUCCGCGCCGCCGCGCGUUCGCCGCCCGCCGUGCCACGCCCGUGCCUCCCGGCCGGAGCCCGCUCCUCCUCGUCGCCCUCGUCGCCGGGAGCUCUCCGGCGAGCCCCCUAGCUUCGGCCACCGCCUCUUCUUCCUCUCCGGUGGGAACUCCGGCGACCUCCCCAACGAACCUCGAACCGCGUGCCAGAUCCAGAUCUGGAAAACCCUAGGUUGACCCCGUUUUUCCCUAAGUCACUAACAUUUUCACCUCAUGUUCUUUGCAUCAUAACUCCGCAUCCGUAGCUCCGUUUUGGGCGUGCAAUAUAUCAAAAUGUUCAUCUAGAUGUGCUCUUCUUUUUAUUCCAUUGUGCCAUGCUUGUUUGAGUCCAUCUUGAUGCCCAAAUAGUUGAUGCAAGAGUGCUAUAAAAUGUUAGGUGCUGAUUCUUAACAGAUCUUGAGCAUUUGUCAUUUUUGCCAUGAUUAUUGUGUGCUGCAUAUGGGCAUGAGCUCUACAUGUGUUUUGGGCUAUGCCAUGCCAUGUUUACAGGGGUGUAUGCCAUGUAUUUUGGUAUCAAUGUGGUGACUAGCACAUGCAUGCAAAGUAGGUUUCGUAAUAUUGCUGAUUUCAGGGACUUAGAAUUUCACUAAGUCAUUUCCCUGCUGUUAUUUUAAUGCCAUGUAUUCAUGUUGCUUCAGCGAGAUCCAUGCUUCGUUUGAGUAUGUUCAGUAAGGAUGAUUUUGACAUAUGGUUGUGCUCUAUCCAUCCAUGUCCCUGUUUGCAUUUAUGGAGUGCCCUAGCAUGACUCAAUCUUGCUCUACUUUUGCUAUAAAAUGUUCCUGGCAGAUUGUUUACGUGUUAAUCAAUUUUGCCAAGGUUGUUGUAGUUGAUCAAUGCAUUCUAUAAGUUUGUUCUUGCUUUGGUUAGCUUGGUGAACAUGUCGUCUUGCUGGCAGUAUGCUUAGCUUGUCAUGCAAUGCCUUGUGAUGAGUGCAUCGAGCUCGCAAACAUGCCUUCAUAAUUCUGUUGAUACCAUGUCCAGUUUUCUGCCAAGUCUGAAUCUGUUAAUGAAACUUGCUAUGUUUAUAUGGGUGCCAUCAUAUCUUCUGAUCCUUUUUCGCUUAUGGUCAGUAAGGGACUUUUUUUAUAUGCUUUGCGUAGAUUCAUGCCAUGCCUUUGUUUGCCAUGUUAUGUUCCUAUAGCAUGUUGUUAUCUUGCUCUAAACAUUGCUUCCUGAUGUGAAUUCCUGACAUGUUAUUUCCACUAAGUCUGUGAAGCUGACAUCUUUUGCACUUUUGCCAUGCUUGUUUGAACCUGCUAUUGUGUGAUUUAGCCGUAGCUCAGUGUUCAUAUUUUGUCAAGCAUCUCGAGUAGAUCACUGCCAUGUGCUUUGUUGCUAUGUUGGAGUGCAGUAGCUUAGUUGCUUGUUGCAUUCUAGAUGGCAUUGUGUUGUUAAUCGCAGAAGUGUGCCAUCAUUGUUUUGCUUGCCAUUUGCAAACCGUGCAUCCGAUUCCGGUGAUCUUUAUAUCGAUUUUGACCGAAAUCAACUCCAGCGGCGCACUUGGUUUGCCAAGUUGAGGCCUGGUUCAAUCUUUUCCUUCCGGAGCAAGCGUAUGCAUUGGAUAUAACAUCCCGCAUAUCAUGCCAUAUUUUGCGUCAUGUUGCUAGCGCAUUGCACCGUGGUUGAUUAUGGUUUCCUUUGCUUGUGUUGCUUUGGGUAGAGCCGGGAGACGAGUUCGUGGUCGAGGAACCCGUUGAGUAUGCUUACGAGGACCAGGCUUUCGUCAACCCGGAGAACUUUGCAGGCAAGAUGACCAUACCCUCGAAAUCACUUCUAUCUUUGAUUGUUAGUUGCUCGCUCUUUUGCUAUGCCGCGAUACCUACCACUUGCUAUAUCAUGCUUCCCAUAUUGCCAUGUCAAGCCUCUAACCCACAUUUUCCUAGAAAACCGUUGUUUGGCUAUGUUACCACUUUGCUCAGCCCCUCUUAUAGCGUUGCUAGUUGCAGGUGAAGAUGGAGUUUGUUCCUUGUUGGAACAUGUUUAUUGUUGGGAUAUCAUUAUUAUAUCUUGUUUACUUUAAUGCACCUAUAUACUUGGUAAAGGGUGGAAGGCUCGGCCUUAUGCCCGGUGUUUUGUUCCACUCUUGCCGCCCUAGUUUCCAUCAUACCGGUGUUAUGUUCCUUGAUUUUGCGUUCCUUACGCGGUUGGGUUAUAAUGGGAACCCCUUGACAGUUCGCCUUGAAUAAAGCUCCUCCAGCAAGGCCCGACCUUGGUUUUACCAUUUGCCACCUAAGCCUUUUUCCCUUGGGUUUCAUGGACUCUAGGGUCAUCUUUAUUUUAAACCCCCGGGCCAGUGCUCCUUUGAGUGUUGGUCCAAACUAGAGCACCGUGCAGGGCCGUCCCUUGGCAACUUGGGUUACGUUGGCUCUUGUAUGCUUAGCUUAUCCGGUGUGCCCUGAGAACGAGAUAUGUGAAGCUCCUAUUGGGAUUUGUCGGCACAGCGGGUGGUCUUGCUGGUCUUGUUUUACCAUUUUCGAAAUGUCUUGUAACCGGGAUUCUGAGCCUGAUCGGGUCUUCCUGGGAGAAGGAGUAUCCUUCUUUGACCGUGAGAGCUUAUGAUGGGCUAAGUUGGGACACCCCUGCAGGGUUUUGAACUUUCGAAAGCCGUUCCCGCGGUUAUGGGCAGAUGGGAUUUGUUAAUGUAUGGUUGUAGAGAACUUGAAACUUAACUUAACUUAACUAAAAUGAAUCAACCGCAUGUGUAGCCAUGAUGGUCUCUUUUCGGCGGAGUCCGAGAAGAGAAAACGGUCUCGUGUUAUGCUUGAACGUAAGUAGUUUCAGGAUCAUUUCUUGAUCUUACGACCGUGCUUUGCUUCUCUUCUCGCUCUCAUUUGCAUAAGUUAGCCACCAUAUAUGCUAGUGCUUGCUGCAGCUCCACCUCACUACCUUUUCCGACCCAUAAGCUUAAAUAGUCUUGAUCACGAGGGUGUGAGAUUGCUAAGUCCCUGUGACUCACAGAUUACUUCCAAAACUAGAUGCAAGUGUCGAUGAUGCCAGUGUAAGGGACGUGACCGAACUCAAGUGGGAGUUCGACGAGGAUUCAGGACCUUACUAUGUUUCCUUUCCGGACGAUCAACAAUAGAGCCCAGUAGGGGUGAUCGGGGAUCUAUGCAUUUGGGAUUGUCUUUAUUUUGGUUCCGUAGUUGGACCUUGAUUGUAUGUGGAUGUUGUAAUGCUAUAUUUAUGUAUUGUGUGAAGUGGCGAUUGUAAGCCAACUCUUUAUCCCUUUCUUAUUCAGUACAUGUGAUGUGUAAAGAUUACCCCUCUUGCGACAUGCCUACUAUGCGGUUAUGCCUCUAAGUCGUGCUCCGACACGUGGGAGAUAUAGCCACAUCGUGUGUGUUACAUUUGAGGACACCAAAAGUAUGAAACAAUUGCUUGGCUUGUCAUCGGCGUUGUGCAUGAUUUGAGUAUUUUGUGUGAUGAAGAUGGAUCAUAGCCACACUAUAUGAUUUUGUAGGGAUACCUUUAUUUGGCCAUGUUAUUUUGAGAAGACAUGAUUGCUUAUUAGUAUGCUUGAAGUAUUAUUGUUUUAUGUCAAUAUUAAACUUUUGUUUUGAAUCUUAUGGAUAUGAACAUUCAUGCCACAAUAAAGAGAGGAUUACAUUGAUAAAUAUGUUAGGUAGCAUUCCACAUCAAAAAUUCUGUUUUUAUUAUUUACCUACUCGAGGACGAGCAGGAAUUAAGCUUGGGGAUGCUUGAUACGUCUCCAAUGUAUCUAUAAUUUUUGAUUGUCCCAUGCUAUUAUAUUAUCCAUCUUGGAUGUUCUAUAUGUAUUUAUAUGCUAUUUUAUAUUAUUUUUGGUACUAACCUAUUAACCUAGAGCCAAGUGCCAGUUUCUGUUUUUUUCCUUGCUUUUGAGUUUUGCAGAAAAGGAAUAUCAAAUAGAGUCCAAAUGAGAUGAAAAUUUACGGUGAUUUUUGAUGGACCAGAAGAAGCCCUCGAAGCACAAGAGUUGGGCCAGAAGAGUCCCGAGUCAACAACAAGGGUGGAGGGCACACCCCCCUACCUUGUCACUGCCUCGUGGACCCCCCUGACUUGAAACCGACGCCCAAAAUUCCUAUAAAUCCAGAAACCCCUAGAAACAAACCUAGAUCGGGAGUUCCGCCGCCGCAAGCCUCUGUAGCCACGAAAAACCAAUCGGAAGCCCGUUCCGGCACACUGCCAGAGGGGGAAACCAUCACCGGUGGCCAUCUUCAUCAUCCCGGCGGUCUCCAUGACGAGGAGGGGGUAGUUCACCCUCCGGGCCGAGGGUAUGUACCGGUAGGUAUGUGUUUGAUCUCCCUCUCUCUCGCGCGUUCCUGAUUUGGCACGAUCUUGAUGUACCGCGAGCUUUGUUAUUAUAGUUAGAUUAUAUGAUGUUUCUCCCCCUCCAUCUUCUUGUGAUGAAUUGAGUUUUACCUUUGAGGUUUCACUAUUAUUGGAUUGAAUACUAUUAUGGAUUUGAGAAAACUUGAUGUAUGUCUUGUGUGGGAUACCUGUGGUGACAAUGGGGUGUUCUAUUGAUUCACUUGAUGUAUGUUUUGGCAGUCAACUCACGGAUUCCCGAGGUUACAUUGGGGUAAUCUAUGCAUAGGGGUUGAUGCAUGUUUUCAUCCUUGUUUCUCCGGUAUAAAUCUUGGGGCACUCUUUGAGGUUCUUUUUGUUGGAUUGAAUAAUAUGAUUCUGAAGUUGUUUGAUGCAUAUCGUAUAAUUGACACACAGAUACUUGUGGUGACAUUGGAGUAUCUAGGUGACAUUAGGGUUGAUUGAUGUGUGUCAUAUGGUGUUAUUUUACUACGAACUCUAGGGCUGUUUGUGACACUUAUAGGAAUAGCUCAAUGGAUUGAUCAGAAAGAAUAACUUUGAGGUGGUUUUGUACCCUACAAGGAAUUUCAUCUUAUGUUCUCCGUGAUAGGAACUUUGGAGUGACUUUUGUCGCACAUUGAGGGAUCUUUAUAUGAUCUAAUUAUGUUAUCAUUGUUGAGAGAACUUGCACUAGUGAAAGUAUGAACCCUAGGCCUUGUUUUCAAGCAUUUCAAUACCAUUUUCGCUCACUUUUCUUACUAGUUACCUUGCUGUUUUUAUAUUUUCAGAUUACAAAAACCUAUAUCUACUAUCCAUAUUACACUUGUAUCACCAUCUCUUCUCCGAACUAGUGCAUCUAUACAAUUUACCAUUGUAUUGGGUGUGUUGGGGACACAAGAGACUCUUUGUUAUUUGGUUGCAGGGUUGUUUGAGGGAGACCAUCUUCAUCCUAUGCCUCCCACGAAUUGAUAAACCUGAGGUCAUCCACUUGAGGGAAAUUUGCUACUUUCCUACAAAACUCUGCGCUUGGAGGCCCAACACGAGUCUACAAGAAGAAGGUUGCAUAGUAGACAUCAACACAUCUUAAUGAAGAGAGAAGAUAAGAUUCAAGAUUGAUCAAGACUAAGUACAAAGAGUGAUUCAAGUUGAUGAAUACACAAAGCAUAGAAUUUAUACCGAGUGGGAUCAAGUGAUAUCAUGGUAUGGCAAGCAUUGUCUAUUGUGCUUUGUGUACUAAACCAUGAACUUUGUGAGGUUUCUUUAUGGGGUUAGGUAUGUUUCCAUGGGUUAGGAUGACAUUAAGUGGCGAUUGUCAUCAAGCUUGUGUUGUGCAAGUUCAAAUGGAGCAUGAUGAAGAGAUCACAUGCUUGAAGCCUGCCGUCCAUUGUGGUGAAAAUGGACAUGUGAAGAUGUGCCGAAGAGAGGUCUACGCAUAGUGUAGUAUGGGUGAGAAAUCUACUAGUCUUCAUCGAGUCAACGCAAUCAAGAAAGGUGGUCCAACUUGAGAAGGCAAGAUCGUCAUCAUCUAGCUCAAGUGGAUUAUGUGCAAGCAAAGGUAUGUACUUUUUAGGUUCUCUAUUUUAUCAGUUUCAUGGGGUUAGUUGGGAGAUCGGGUUAUAGGAUUGAUUACCGUACUAUCGAGGGGGGCUCUCAAUUGAGUAGCAUGAUUGUAUCAUUCAUAGAUAACUCAAACCAUUGCAUCCUUGGCAUCAUAUUUCUUGGUUCUUGUUUGGCUUUUCUCCUUGUGACUUUUGGAGCUUGUGGUCAUCUUCACGACGAGCUCAAGUACAUUGAAAACGGAUUUCAUAUGCACCAUCUAUUAUAUUUUCGAUGUCGGAGUUUUGCCGGUUCCUCACCGAUGGAGGUUUCACACCUCUAUAUCAUUGGCAUGUUACUCUUGUCGUUAGCUUUCCAUCAAGCUUGAGUUCAUCUAAAAUCAUAGUUCAUUUGCAAAAGUUGUGGUAGUUUUGGUCUUACUUGUUUUUAUCUAUUGUGCAUUGGACUUUUGUUUGAGGCCAAGCAAUAGUACCGCUGGUACAGACGGUAGUACCGCUUAGGUGGUACUUCCGCUGGUCAGUACCGUGGCUAGUGUCGCUUGGUGUUGAGCCUUUUGUUGCUCCCUCUGUCCCACAACAUUUCGCGACUGUACCACUUACUACCCAUGGUAGUACCGCUUAGGCGGUACCUCUAUAGGUUACUACCACAACUACUUCCGCUUGUGCUGAAGUCGUCUGUAUGCCCUCUGACAAUUUGCAGUAGUACCACUAGCACUAACAGUAGUACCGCUUCGUGUUGUACUUCCGCUCUGGUGCGGUGCUAACUAUCACUGGCUUCUCUUGCCCCCAUGAAAAUUCAUGGUACUACCGCUUGACGUAGGCGGUAGUACCACUCGGGCAUAACUAUCACUCUACUACCUCGCUGGUAGUCGUGGGUCAUGCUAAAACUGCCAUGCCAAGCGGCAGUACCGCUCCUCUGAUCGGUAGUACCGCUUAAGGCAUAGCUAGUGCAUAACGGUUGGAUUCUUGGGGCACUAUAUAAGGGGGUCUUCUUCCCCAUUGCCCCAACGGUUCUUUGCAAGCUUUCUCCUCCAAUGUUGACCUCCAAAAAGCUUUGCUUUCUCGCAAUUCUGCCUAUGAUUCUUGCAUCUUUUUGAGGGAAAAUAAAGAGGAGAUCUAGAUCUACAUUUCCACCAAUCCAUCUCUCCACUAAGUGAGGGAAACCCUUUGGAUCUAGAUCUUGGAGUUGUUUGUGUUCUCUUCUUCGUCCUUCAUCUCAUAUUCCUCCAUAGCAUUAGUUGUGGUGGUGGGAUUUAGGAGAGAAGGACCUAAGCACUUGGUGUGCUCUUGCCAUUGCAUUUGGUGCAUAGGUUUGAGUUCUCCACGGUGAUACAUGGAAGUGAAAGUUGAGAAGCUUAUUACUCUUGGGUGUUUGGACACCCUAGAGCUUGUGUGUCUUGAGUGCUUGGGUGCCCUAGACGGUUGGUCGUGUCAUAGAACUCACUCAUUGUGGUGUAAAGCUCUGGGCAAGCUUUGGGGUCUCCAAUUAAUUGUGGAGUUGUCCCGAGCAAUUUGUAUGGGUUAGGUGACUGCCCCCAGGGGUUGCCAAUUGUACGGGUUCGGUGACCACCCCCAAGGAUUGCCAAUUAUAUGAAUUCAUGACCGCCCUCAAGGGCCCCUUAGUGGAAUCAUGACAUCUUGCAUUGUGCAAGGGUGUGUGGAGAAUACGGUGUGAUGUGGAGCAUCCUUCCAUCAUCUCCAUGGACUCUACACUAACACAUCAAGCACCACGUGGACCUAUGACAAGAGCUCGAGCAUGUGAUACGUCCAUUUUGCAUCAUGUUUUCCUACUAUUAUUUAUAUUGUUUUUAGUCAAUAUAACACUUUAUGGCGUAAUUAUAAUGCAUUCUCUAUCAUACUAUGCAAGGUUUACACAAAGAGGGAGAAUACCGGCAUUUGGAAUUAUGGACCUGAAAAAGCUAUGUCAGAGAUACCUAUUCUGCACAUCUCCAAACGACCUGAAAUUUUACGAAGAUUUAUUUUGGAAUAUAUAAAAAAUACUGGAGAAAAGAAAUACUGGAGGAGGCCACCCAGGUUCCCACUAGGCACCAAGGCGCGCCCACCCCCAGGCGCGCCCUGGUGGGUAGUAGGCUCCCUGGCCCACAUCCAGUGCCCAUCUUCAGGUACAUAAGGUCUUUUGACCUAGAAAAAAAA
This 63459-nucleotide long non-coding RNA is filed under the name Triticum aestivum (bread wheat). Its description in RNAcentral is "long non-coding RNA (TAES_LNC020373)". The record is from RNAcentral. Lineage: Eukaryota; Viridiplantae; Streptophyta; Magnoliopsida; Poales; Poaceae.